RNAcentral lists this long non-coding RNA (76256 nucleotides) under Brachypodium distachyon (stiff brome). RNAcentral's name for it is "long non-coding RNA (BDIS_LNC000338)". The stretch from base 15648 to 15847 matches the Rfam family "MIR1435 microRNA precursor family". The record is from RNAcentral. Lineage: Eukaryota; Viridiplantae; Streptophyta; Magnoliopsida; Poales; Poaceae.
UGGCCACCUGGUCCACGGGCAAGGACUCCGUCGUCCUCAACACCACCGGCACCCACUACUACCUCUGCGGCUACCCGGGCCACUGCGGCAUGGGGCAGAAGGUCGCCGUCCACGUGUCCGCCGCCUCCUCUGACGCCCCUUCCGCGGCACCCUCCAUGGCGCCCGCGCCGGCAUCCUCCUCCGGCUCCGGCGGUAGCACCGCCGGCCGCGCCGCCGCCGCCGCGCCUUCGCCGAACAAAAACGCCGCGCCGUCGACCGUCGGAUGCUCCGUCGCCCUGACCGCCGCCGCGUCCGUGCUCUCCGUCGCCGCCGCCGGCCUCAACCUCCUGUAGUCGAGUCAAGGACAUGGGUGUCUCGUCUCGCCUUGUGAAUCGUGAGCUUGCGUUUGUGACCGCCGCAUGAGCACUGCGUAUGAGCUUCCGGAGUCUGCGUUCCGUUUCUUGUUUUUGCCUCUUGUUCCAUAUAAACUCUAGUCUGAUUCUGUGGGUCCUGGUUUGAUUUGGGAGUUUGUGCCGGUUGCCGUCGGUUUUAGUUCUAUCAAUUGAGCACUCGUAUUAUCUCAGCUCCUUUCUCCACUGUCUGGCCUGCGGCUCUGAAGAUCAAUCCCUUGGGAAAUAUGUACAUGCUAGUCUGCAGCACAGCAGCUCGUGCAUUUCUGAAUUCGUAAAAUAAUUGCCCGGGACACAAUCAUUGAGCACAUCAGCGUGAUUACCAGGAUUCAGAAAAGUGUUGCCAGGAAGACGGGGGUGCGCUAGCGACCAGCUUUUCUUGACCUGUCAGUACUAGUACUAAUUUGAGAUGAUUUGCUACCGUGCGAAACUUGCACAGUUGCCCUUUGUGUCGUGCCUGCGGCGAUGGUACCCUGAUCUGGUUAUGUUUGUCCUCUGUGCUCAGUGACAGCCUGACAGCCAUCUAGAACGGUAGAUUAAUUCGUCAGCCGUUUUCUCGGGUGUGUAUUGUGUUUAUUCCCAUCUGAACUUCUGAAAGAUCUCAUGAGGAACGGUUGCCACAUCUAGGCAUGGACACCAUAAAUUUGACGGAGACAAGGUAGAAAUUGAGACAGACAGAACACGUAGGCACACAAAAUGCCGCUAAAUGAAGGUGUCAAAAGAAAUCCCAGGAAUGCGCGUAAAGCCGACGAUUCUUCCUUUUCCUUCUCAUGAGGAUUGCAAAUCAUCAUGCGACAUUGCAGUCGCACCAGCCUCGGCGACCGCAAGAUAACACAUACUCUCGGCAACUUGUUCCAUCCAAACGAUGAGGGCUGCUGAAUUCAUAUCGGCACCCGAGCGCGCAAUCAGAACAGCCAAUUGGACAUGGUAUUAUACGAGGUCUUGGACAGAACACGAUACGACAGCUAGAAAACCAGUAAAAAGUCCGAGACCAUCCAAAACAGAUUCGAGCAAUCUUUUAUUCUUAUGUAAAUCCGCAUCGCUUAUUUUCGAACUGAGCGAGUAGUAUAAAUGAAUAAAUUGGUAACAUUUUUUAGACAAGAAAUUGUUUACCUCUUUUCUUAGGCAAGAUAUCUUUCACUUUUUUUUUUGCCACGGAAGAAAGCUUUUUAACUUUUAUUGAAAAGACCAUCCAACCCCAACUUAGCGAGAAAAAGAAAAGCAACAAUAUCGUUUAUCCCAUAAGUUUAUGAUGAUGCCACGGGUUAUGACAAAGCCACAAGCUUCUGAUCUUAAGGUUUCUCCUAACGAUGUCUAUGGUUUAGCCAUGAAGCCACAUUUUAGCCGACGGAUGCAUGCAUUGUAGAACGUGGACAGUGAGACCUUCUAUGGCAUGUUCAGUUUUCUUUGUUCAAUCCCAACUUCCAUACUCGCGGGCUCGCAGCCCACAUACACACCAAAAACACUCGCAGCCCACAUGAAUUGUACUCAAUCAAAGACAAUUAUUAUGGAUACUGAAGACGGCAGAUACAAGGUGAAACUUCACACAACUUUUCGAUUUGUCCAUUCCUUUUAUUUGUAGCUAAAAAAAAGUGUCAUGUAACUGAGACGGACAAAACUAAUCUUUUAGCAGGUGCUGCAGCUCUACAGGCAGAGACCCUAAGGCAUCAUGACAGGCAGGCGCACCUGGACAAGGACAAAGGGAAGACCUCUCGCCAAGAUGAGCAAGCUGACAGAAAGGGCAAACGGAAGACUGAAGAUGAUGGAACACAGUGAUCGGUGAGCUGCUGGGAAGAGAAUGGAUCUCCGAACAAGUUGCAUUUUUUGCUAGCCCUGUGUGCUAGUUUCUGUUCUGUUAACUACCUUCUGUUUCGUUUAAAACGCUGAACUUGUGUGUGUUCUUGCUAGCCUUAGGCGGCAAGUAUGUGUGGACAUAUGUGGGUGAUUUCGGGUGUAUUCCGUUAUCGUCUGAUAGUGGAAUCCGAUCGUAUGAUCGUUUUUUUUUAAAAAAUGUGACCAACCUCGAGCUUCCAUAGCAUUGCAGUCUGCAAGCCGUGCCGUCCCACGACUUGGAAACGACUCGGGAACGCUCAUGCCGGCAGGCGACGCGAUCUGGACGCGCACGCGGAGAUCUAAGAGCAUCUCCAGCCGCGCCCCCCAUUUGGCGUCCGGCGCAGCUGUUUUUUAGGCCGUUUGGGGGGCGCCGACGGUUUUUUUUUAGGGUUCUGCCAUGACCCAGCCGCGCCCCCAAUAAGAACACCCCCCCACAAAUUUCUUUUUUGAAAAUAGACAAAAUUUAACUAAAUUCGUCGAAAUUUAAAUGAAGUAGGCGAAAUUUAAUUAAACAUAAAGUUUUUUCAUUACAUAAUUCUAUAAUAAAAAAAGGCCGCCUAGUCGUCGAGGUCGCUGAAGUAGGCGAGGCAGGCCUCGUCGGAGUCGAUUUCGACCGGCUUCGUCUUCACCUCCGUCGCAGGGCUCUUCCCCGCCUUCUUCUUGUCGGCGGCCUCCCUCUCUGCCUCCUUUGCGCUCGCUGGCGCGCUCCGCUGCCUGCUGCCCCGGGAACUCCUCGGGGUCGCCGUCCUGGCGCCAGGCGCUCGUACUCCGGUGUCGGCGCCCACUGCAGCUCCGGCUUUGGCCAGACUAGGUAGAGCCGGGGGAGCGGGAGGCGCCGGAGCCACCGUACCGGUGCCUGCCCGCCGGUGCCGGUGGGUGUGGUGGGGGCGUCUCCAGGCGGGGGUGAUCGCCGGCGGUGAUGUGCGCGAGCACUGCCGCCACAGAGCGCCCGCUCCAGAACCCCCGCCGGUCGUCGAUGUUGAAUCGACCUGGUAGCGGGGCUCGCGUUGGCCCUCGUACCAGGCGAUGUCGACGGCAUGGCGAUCGGCGAAGAAUGGCGCCAGUCGGCCCCGGUGGCGUGGUUCCACCCGGAGUCCUUGCGCUCCUCCGCUGUCAGCCCGUGCCACCAAUGGGCAUUGAGGGCGGCGGUCCGGGCACGGCCCGUUGGCACCGGCAGCGUCGAGAUGCCGCCGAUGCUGAGCGUCCAGUGCGCCGGCAGCCGGCAAUCGGGCGACGCCGGGUACUCAUGCUCGUGGAGGGCCUCGGCCUCCUCGAGUGUGAGCGUCGUCCGGCGCCAUGUAUCAUCGCCGGUAGCCAUGGUCUCGUCGGUGGGAGGGUUUAGGACGAGAGAGAGGGAGGGUUUGGGCGAGAGGGAGGAGAGGAGGCGCCGAGAGGAGAAUGCUGAGUACCGCCGGUGGUCACCCUUUUUAUAUCACCGGAAUGCGAACUGGCAGGCGUGUGAACACGACAAUAAACGCGGCCGCGUGGCAACCGGCGGGCUACCGCCAUUAAAAUCCACUCGGGAGCCGAGGAGGGGCCGGUGAGAAACCGGUAGGGCGUUUAAUUGUCGAUGACAAGGUGGGCCCGCCGCAAUAACGCGUUCCGUCGGCGUCCCCUGGGUUCGGCCUGGGGGCACCGGAUAACUUUUUGGGCCGCGCCGGAUGAAAAAACAAAUUGGGGAGACGGGCUGGGUGGGUUUUUAGGCGCCGGCGCCCCCCAAGCCCGUUUAGGGAUCCUUUAGGGGGGGGCCGGCUAGAGAGUGAGAUAUUUGAUGAGGAUUUUGAUAAGUGUGACCGUGAUGCGGACUACAUGCCACCAGGGCAUGUGGUUGUCACAAAUGGGUGGAACCAUGAGUGACAAGGCAAUGUGAACAUGAAUGCCACUCGUGAAGCUAUUGAGAAUGGACCGAUGGCCGAUAGGGAAUAAUUAGGCUAUGGAAAAAUGUACUUAAUAUUAGUGUUAUCCAUUAUGACAUUGCAUGGUUAACGUUUGGACUACGAUUAAUUAUGACAAUGGAUCCAUUACUAGUAUCUUUCUCAUUGUUAAAGUUAAACAAUAGUAUUUUACGCCAAAACUGAUUAUUAAACUCGUCAUUUGCGCUUACAUCAUCAAACUCAACGUUUAAUAAAAAGUUGCGGCAAACAGGGACAUUACAGACAUUCCACUUUCAUACAGGAGCAAGCAGUAACAGUUUCACUGUCAUGCUAAACAAACAGCAAGUCAGGUUCAACUCCAGCAUUACAGCUCCAGCAGAAAAUUAGUUUUUUUCAGAUACAGCUGUCUUGAGUUAACUAUCUUAUCUUAAGUUCAGCUCCAGCCUCAACAAAGCCUCAACAAAGUCAGCCUUACUCUGUAAGUCUGUAAGUUUUGUGAAACAAAAACAAAAGGUGGACUAGAUAAUCAUCCCGAGAUUAUAGCAAUUCCUUCGCUCCUCCAUAAGGCGCCGACGGGGACGGAACUAAACCCAACCAGUGCCCAGCUCUCGUGCGAAGCCUUCCCCUUCCCCAAGCGACGACGACCACCGUGCGGCGACGCGAUGGAUUCGAGGCCGCGCGAGGGAGACGCCCCCACCGAGCCUGCCGAUGGCGGCGCCCCGCCGGCCACCGCGAAGGUUGAGGUCGAGAUUACCAAGCCCCGCAACGACAAGCGUGAGUACCGCCGCGUGGUGCUCCCCAACGCCCUCGAGUGCCUCCUCAUCAGCGACCCCGACACCGACAAGGUCAAAACUCCGUUCGCUCGCUUCUUCGAUCGGGACGGGUCGCGGUACCUGCUGGAUUUCAUUUCGAUUUUGAAUUCGUGAUUUGUUUGCAGGGGGCGGCGUCGAUGAAUGUCUCGGUGGGUUACUUCUGCGAUCCCGAUGGGAUGGAGGGGCUCGCGCACUUCCUUGGUGAGCGUUUCGCUCUGGCUUGUCGCGUAACAACCAGCGGUAUGCUGGAUGCUGCUGUUUUUGCUGCUGAUAGUCGCUUUCCAUAAUCGGUACUAAUCAUUUAGCAUGGUGCUAGUGAUGGAAAUUUAACUGCACCUGCGACCUAAGGACUACGAUUUCUCUGUGCCGUGAUACUGCUCUGGUUGUAGUUUUAGGACUGUUAGGCCACGAAUUGCAUUUUUGCUAGCUUGUUACGAAGAUUGUUUUAGACCGGGUGCUUGUUAUAGAAUAUCCUGGGAUCUUGAGGUUUGUGUUCUUUUCGGUUGUUCAGUGGUAACCGCUAUUACUAGUGCUGCAUUGAUCAUGGUCUUGAGGUGUGUAUGCUUUUGGGUUGUUCAGUAUUUACCGCUAGUGCUGCACUGAUCAUGGCAUAUGACUAUGAGUCCAUGUAACAUAACAAAGCAAGGAGAGAGACACCAAAUAUCUAUAGGUUGUAAUUCUUUUAGUAUUAAUUCACAGGCAUGUACUGUCAUACUGUAUAGUCAGUAUAAAGCUCACAGAUUUUCUUUUUUGGCCUGAUUGUACUGACAUUUGAAAAGUUUCCUAGCAAGUACAUUGCAGUACUAAUUUGUCAGUAAUUUUGUAUUGUUUGAUUCACUAAUGGAGCAAUGCAUGCUUCUCCUUUUACAGAGCAUAUGCUUUUCUAUGCCAGUGAGAAGUAUCCUAUAGAAGACAGUUACUCAAAAUACAUUGCAGAGGUAUUUAUUUUUCCAGGGUCAAGAUUUCACUAUUUCUGCUUCCGUUCAUUCAAAGUAAUUUGUUGGUUUGAUCUAUACUGUUCACUGAUUGCAAAAGUUAGUGAAAAUGCUUCAAAACACCUGCGAGAUCCAGAACACAACGGCUUAACAUAAUGCAAUACUUGCAUAAAUAUCUCUUACAUUUGACAAGGAAUUGUCACUUGUACCACACUGUUAUGCCAACUAAUGCUCACCUGUUCAGUUCUGUAAUUACAGUGCUUCAGAAGCUUAGUGCGUUAGGGCAGUUUAAUAAUUUGGCAACUAAGCUACCUUACAUUUGAUCAUGGUAUACUGUCUUAUUGACUUAUUCUUUUAUAGAGUGCCAGUUGGUUGCAAUGUAGUACUAGUAAUUUUUUCGGGGAUAUGUGGCCUGGUCACAAUUUCCCUGUAUUUCAGUGAACUGAGAAAAUUGGCUUUGCAGCAGUACCUGCACCAUUUGGUUCUAACGCAUGGUAUUCUGCUGCUGGUAUUUUGCUGGGCAAGGCUUGAGCUCUUUAAUUAAAUCAUGAAUAAUACUAGCAAGAGAACCGCCUGCCUGGACUAUCAUGUGGUUGCUGAGAUCCUGAGAGGAAUUAUUGUUUCCAGAUGUUCAUACAAUAAUAUCACAAUCUUUAAGUGGAUCCUCUGUUAUUGUGUUAUUUAUCAUUGGUUGUGUAAUAUCGCCUUUUCUUGUAGCAUGGUGGUUCAACCAAUGCCUUUACAUCUUCUGAACACACAAACUUCUAUUUUGAUGUGAAUAGUGACUGCCUGGAUGACGCUUUGGAUAGGUACCUUCUACUGCUUUCUGUCUUUUUACCUUUUUUGUUCUUGUUUUGCAAAAAACUGAUCAGUCUUUCGUCUUGGCUCCUCUUUUAGGUUUGCACAGUUUUUUAUAAAGCCAUUGAUGUCUUCUGAUGCAACUCUGAGGGAAAUAAAAGCUGUUGACUCUGGUAUAUGUUGCUUUCCUCUUACUGUACUUGCUGGUUCUACCGAGAGGAAUAGCCUCUAAUUUUUUCUUAUUGCAGAAAAUCAGAAAAAUCUGUUGUCAGAUCCUUGGCGAAUGAGUCAGGUACUUCCAGUUUCCAGGCUAUCAACUAUCAGCUUUGUGAUAAAAAUCAUUUUCUGUUUUAAUUGGAUAAUUUCUGAUAUCUUGAUCUAUGCAUAUCAUUUUAUCUAUAUUAAGAAAUCAUUUUUUAUUUUGGCAUGAUGUUUCAUGGCAGAUGUUUAAGACUUUAGUAGUUAAUCAUAUGUAAAUUCAAUAUUUACCGUAAAUACGUGUCCUGAGAAAUUGAAUUAUCAACUUAGUUAUAUCUGCAAGAUUUGGUAACCAACUACAGGUUCUGUGACUUUCGAUUCUUAGAAAGGUCCGUCAACAAAGUAAUUAGAUAAUCAGAGCUUUGAACUACUGUUGGUUGCUAAUCACUUGCUAGUGACACGCUUUUGUCGUAAGGAAUAUUGUAACUUUGGACAUUUAGUUGAUAUAUGAUAUACAUAAUUUUUGGCUCAUGACUUACCUUGCUAGGAGCAUGGAAGUUCAGCCAAAAAUAUUAAAGUUGAAGUUCGUUAUUAUAUUUAUGGAAGUUGUCCAUUUUUUACUCCCUCCGUCCAACAAUAAGGGGCAUAUUAGGAUUCGGUUGACCAAGUCUUUGACCACAAAUUAUUUCAUGAAUAUGUGACUAAUGUGAUCAAAAUCAUAACCAUAAGCAAAUAUCCUUGAGUAGGAAUAUAAUGGAUGUGAAUCUAUGCCAUAUAAUUAUAUAUUAAUAGAGUAAUUUGUGGUCAAAGCAUUGGUCAAAAGAAAGGUAAUACGCCCCCUAUUGUUGGACGGAGGUAGUAUUUAUCAAGGGAUUGGUUGAAUCCCAAUCCCCAAGUGUCUUUUGUCUUUAGUAUUUGGAUGCCUAAAACAGAAUUAUAUGCAGAUCAUAUAUUCUAAAGGUUCUUCUAUGUUAGGGUUUAACCAGUUAGUAACUUAAUAUCCAAUGCCUGAAACCCUAAAUUGCCUUACGCCUGACCCGACACACCUGAAGUGGACGACACGGACGUCACAGGGAUCCUGCACAUAUGGCUGUCUUCUUCCUCCACACUGGCAUAUCUGCCCAUCUUCCAUGCAAAUUUAUGUAGGUCUCUGCUUUCCCAACAGAGGCAGUAAAGUGAAGCUGAGGCUAUGACAAUGAUGGCAGCUGUGAAGCAUCCUGACUUCGUCCGUGAUUUCUAACUGUGACCCCCAUCCUAUUCAUUGUCCCAACCCUUGACUGAUGUCGUAAAGGGUGGAGUGACUGAUGUCCCAACCCUUGACUGAUGUCCCAAUCCUGCACAAUAUUAACUCUUGCCUAACCUGCCUACUCCUGGUACAGCCGUUGGUCACCCUCAUUUUAUUGUGAUUGCGAUCACCUGUAACCAUGAUCGUGGGCGCGAGCAGUCAUCCCCAAGUUGAUGCACAGAUUGUCUUUCAUGUGAUUCUUUUUUGUUUUUUGUUUCUUAUAUUCUUCGUUUAUACUUUUUUGGUUUCAGCUCCAGAAGCAUCUUUGCUCAAAUAACCACCCGUAUCACAAGUUCAGCACUGGUGGGUAUUUUAGUUCUCAUAUCAAUUCUUUUAUAUCUGGUUUUUAUGCCAUCAGUGAGAUAUUACAACUAUAGUACUUGCUUACUACCUACUCUAUAUUUCUCUCUUCAUUUUUGGAGUCACAAAUAUACAUGAGAAAUAACUUGAGGAACACAUUCCAUUUUGCUUUCUGCUUCAGUGGUAAAAUGUCGUAAUGACCUAGGAGAAACAUAAUUCCAUGUUUACAUGUGUCACAUUUGCUUUUAAAUGUUAUAACAUCUGAACUGAGUUCAUAGAAAAUGUUUUUCACUACCUCCUAUACCUUGAGAAUAAACCGUCGCCAAUUACUUUGGUUAUCGUUUUGGGUUGCUCGUGUGGAGCCCUCUCCUCUCAAAUAUGACUGCUGUUUCAGAAUAAUUGAGUUAAACUCAAGAAGUUUAGACCAAAGUUAUUUACAGAAGUAUUUUGAGUAUCCUUAUGAAUAUUAACGUCUGUAGACUUUCCAUUGGAACUAGAAAGUACUCCCUCCGUUCCAUAUUAAGUGACUCAAAUUUGCCCAAAUAUAGAUGAAUCUAUUCCCAAAAAGCGUCUAGAUACAUGUAAUAUUUCGUCACUUAAUAUGGGACGGAGGGAGUACUUCGUUUCCUUUUUUGAAUUUACAGCUAUGUACUAGGACAAAGUUAGUGGUCAAAGCUGUAAAUUGGAGGCAUUAUUUCUAUACUAAAGUAUCUAGAUGUUUUUCUCUUUGCUAUCAGAAGUUAUGGAAGUUUUGAUGUGGGUCUUUGUUACUCCUGAGAAAGGUUGAUCAAUUAUUAUUAUCAUUUACUAAUAUUUUGCUCAUAUACUGUUUCAGGAAAUUGGGACACCUUGGAGGUUAAGCCAAAGGAGAAAGGAUUGGACACAAGGCUUGAGCUUAUCAGAUUCUAUGAUUCACAUUACUCAGCCAACUUGAUGCAGCUUGUUGUGUACGGAAAAGGUUUUUCAUCAAACCAUUUUGCAUCCUUCUCCAUUCUUAGAAACUCUUCACUCUUCCCCUUAUGUUUGCUGUAUUUGCAGAGAGUCUCGACAAGAUUCAAACCCUUGUCGAAAAUAAGUUCUUUGAUAUCAAGAACGUUGAAAGGAAGCCAUUUUCAUUUCCUGGUCAUCCAUGUGCAAGCAAGGAUCUCCAGGUGCUUACUGUUUUCUAAAAUGAGUCGAUAAUUUCACGUACCACUGGACCAGGUGCCUUUUUAGAAAUUGUAAGGAUGCUUGCGCACACAUUCAUAUGAUAGUUGAUGGCUUGCAGAUUCUUGUUAAGGCGGUUCCAAUAAAACAAGGUCACACUUUGAAAAUACUGUGGCCAAUCACUCCAAACAUUCGGCAUUACAAGGAAGGUCCUUGCAAGUAUGUGUCCCAUCUAAUCGGCCACGAAGGAGAAGGGUCUCUAUUUUACAUUCUAAAAAAACUAGGUAAGUCUCUUGACCAUUUGAAGUAAUGUGAUGCUCUUCCCUACCUUUUUGCCUUUUUCUUCCCUACUACUUCCCUCCGAUAGUUCAAAAAUGUAAGGCGUAUAACUUUUGUUGACUGUCAAUUUGUCUAACUCGUGAAAGUAUGACCAAGUUUAUAAAAAACAACUAGCAACUUUUAAAGUACUAAAUAAAGAUCACUAGAUCUAUUAUGAAAUAUAUUUUCAUAGUGUAUUCAUUUGAAAUAUUAGAUGUUAAUAUUUUUUGCGUAAGCUUGGUCAAAGUCUAGAAAGUUUGGCCGUCAACAAAAGUUAUGUGCCCUAUAUUUUGGAACGAAGGGAGUAUCAGGCUUUAUGAUCCAAAAUAGAGAGAGUAUCAGGUUUUAUGAUCUACUAGAAUAGAGAGACUACCAGGCCUUAUUAUCAACUUUCUGCUGGAUUCCACUGGGACUCCAACUCCUGUCUCAUCUUUUUGUUGCUUAUGCAUUAUUGUCUUAAUGGAAUGUUUAGACACAACAAUGAUGAAUGCAACUGUAUUUUCUAAGAAGUAUUGAACUUUCAGUUGUGUGAUGCGCUGGUUUCUAAUUAGGCUUGAUAUCAUAGUUUGUUUUUUGCAGUGAUGCGCUACUUUGGACCUUAGUUUCAGCUCUUGUGUUUCUCCUUUUUUCACAUGCUGUUGUACUGUUCUUGCAUUCUGUAUCUCUGGUCUCCCCUACUCUUUAUAAUAAAAUAAAUGAAAUUGAAAAUUUGCCCUUUUUCCUCUCUUGAGAAUAUGCAAAAAGCUUUGCGUCUCGAUGCAUUGAUUGAUUGAGAGAGAGAGAGAGAGUGUUAUGUAGGUCCUCAAAGAGGGCUACACCCGAGAUUACAAAGCUACACGAUUAGGUUUUUGUGUCUGCCGGGAGCAGCGCCCAAGCCCAACCGCACUGGUUUGCGCCCAGAGCCUAGCACCAGCCUUGAUCAGAUCGGCGAGAGUGGUGAUACUGGGAUGCGCAUUGUUGAAGACGGCCGCGCUGCGAUGCUUAUAAUCCACCAGGUCGUAAGCAUGAUGAGUGAAGAGGUGCCCUUCCUAGCCGGGGAAGGGGUGGAACGGACGGCCUCCUGUCACCAAUCUGUGAACACCCCAGUGGUUGGCUGGAUACCGGUGAUAAUUUGCCCUUUUAUUUUGAGUUGGUGUCGGAUACAAAGCUAAUAUGCUCUUUAGGUGGUAUUAGAAAAUCCUUUAUUGGUGUCAUUUGCUAUUUAUUACGUUCUCAUAUCAAGUCUAUUAGGUCACUUGUUAUUAAUAGUUUGGAUCAGAAGGGAGCUAUUGUGGUGUUUUCGUGUAAUAAUCAAGUGAAACUACACUUUGUUUGGAACAAACAGCCAAAAGAGCAAAACAUCCUACAUGCACAAGAUGUGAAAUGGAAAACCAUAGGUUUGAUGCUGCUAUGAUAUAACUCUAUUGAUGCUAUUUUUAGCUUGGUAUUCUGAUCAGUGAUAUAGUGUGACAUGGCGUGUUCAUUCUUCACCGAUGGAAGUAUAUAUUUUUCUUCUAAUAUUUCAGUGUUUACCCGGAUUAAUGUUGUAUUCUGCUAAAUUCUCCAGGAUGGGCUAUGAGUUUGGGAUCAGGGGAAGGGGAUUCAAAUUAUGAGUUUGCUUUCUUCAGUGUUGUUAUACAGCUCACAGAUGUAGGCCACGGUGAGUUCUCAUUCAAGAAUGGCAAUUUGGAUAUUAUAUUCUGUAACGGGAGUGGUAGUCACCUAUUUCACAAUUGGUAACUUUCAUGAUAGAGCACAUGGAGGAUAUUGUUGGGUUGUUAUUCAGAUACAUAGCAUUGCUUCAGACCUCUGGAACUCCGAAGUGGAUUUUUGAUGAGGUGAAUGUGAAUUAAGCUUUGUUCUUCUUUUGAAUUAUCAUCUGUAUGCGAGAUCAGUUGAAACUAUACAAUUAUCUUCCUCGUUUUAAGUUAGACAAUGAUGGAAGGACUUCACUACUAUUAGAUUGGGUUAAUUUUCUCAGAAAACCUUGUAUGUAGGAUCUUCAGAUUUUGUUAUGGUAUAUAGACAAAAAAUUUAUAAUUUGUCCACCACUUUUCUUAUACCUGUCCCAUUAUAAAUGAGAUUUUAGGGAUAAAAUUCCCUUCUUUUAUAAAUUAUGUCCUAUAUAUUUUAUAUGAAGCAUAACCAUAUCUUCCUAAACUCCCAGUACCUUAUUUAAUGUACACCACAUGUAUGAGGUAUUGAGGUUCAAUCCCUUGUUCCGGAGGCAAUCAAAUUUAAUAGUAGUAGCGGAUAUAACUUGAGUAGGGGCAUGAUGGAAAUCUUGUACUAUUUGUUAAUAUGCGUAAGUCUAAAAUGCCAUCCAUAAAUGAAGGAAUGGAAUGUACUUCUGUAUGGAUGUCUGGUCUUAACCGUUUGGACAAAUGUCGUUUGACCUGGGAGUGAGUAUAUGAUUGCAAGUCACGUCUCUUCCCUUAUCAUGCAAAUGGAAAAAUGUGUGCUGCCUGGAAAGGGUUUUUAUUUGUUCCUGUAACUAGAAAAAAUGAAAUAGAUUAUUGACUAGUAAACUCUAAUCAGUAAACUGGGGUUUGAACAUUCUAGACAUCACAUAGUUCACCUGAUGCACAACUAACUAUGUUAGCUUCUUUUGGGCAGCUUCUAGCCAUCUGUGAGACAGGAUUCCACUACCGAGACAAGAGCCCUCCUAUCCAUUACGUAGUCAAUCUUUCCUCAAACAUGCAGGUAUAUUCCAGUUAUCCUUUUUGGCAUCUACCUUGCCUGGUUCUCAUAAGUUUUUCUUAGCUACUGAGUGUCUUGAAUCAUGAUUUUUUCUGUGCAUGCAGGAAGUUAGCAAUUGUCAUUUUCUAUUUUUAAUUGCAUUUGACUAUUCAGAUUCUUGUUUCUUAUUGUGUGCAUCUGAGGACUAGACUCUCUUUGUUGUGCGUAUUCCAUUAGCUCUUCCACCUAAGUUCGGAUAGCAAGCAGACGAUUCUUUCUUUAAAAGGAAAUCUGUUUCUCCAAAAUCUUUUCACUUGGCUAUUUUCUAACGGAAUGGAUAUGGCUUUUGCUAACUCCAUAAGACAGCUACUGCAUAAUUAAUGCCAUGCUCAUUCUUUGAACUACUCCAUGGGAGUACAACAUGGUACACUACUCCAUGGGAGUACUACAUAAUACCAUAAUAUUCAAUUUCUCAGUAACAUGAUUUUGUGGGGGAAGAAUCUAGUCUAAACCCAAUUUUCAGUGCUACUUAUGUGUUCUUUGUUGUGCGGGGCGAGGAGUUUGAUUGGGUUAGGGCUGGGGCCUCGGGACUGGGGGCUUGCCUCCUCCCCGAGGGCUUUGACGUGCACUGAGCUUCCCCCUCCUCUUUUUUUGCCUUUCCUCCCCCACCUCUCCCUUCUUUUUUUCGUAUUGAUACGUCUAGGUGUUGUUAGCAAAUUAUCCCUUUGCGCGAGCAUCAUUUAGCGGUUCAUGGGAGCGUUAGCAAAUUAGCCCAAAAGAUGGGGUUGCACUAUAUACUUUCUCUAUCUUACUCAUCUAGGUUUGGAUAUUCUCUCUCUUCCAACGUUGGCACAUAUUAACAUAAUAUUGCUCUUUCUUCAGUUAUGUAUGUAGGGAUGUUGCAUGUAACGAAAUUCUGCAGAAUUUCUGAGAAUGUGAUUUGUAUUGAACUUGGAAUGAUCUAACUUUACUAACAAGAUCUGCCUAAAUGUUCUUGCUUAAAGGGUUCUGAAUGUUGCAGUUUCUCAUGUUUUUUUUAAUCCUUCUUUGUUCUACCGCAGAUUUUUCCACCUGAAGACUGGUUGAUUGCAUCGUUUGUACCAUCAAAGUUUUCGCCAGAUGCUAUUCAGAAGGUAUUAGAUGAAUUGACUCCAGAAAAUGUUAGGUAGGUUCUGACUUCUGAGAGCAUUCAUGCCAUGAUGGUUUUCCUGUUAUGUUAGAUUGAAAUUUUCAGUUAUUGAAAUUUUCAUACUUGAUCUUAUAUUUGAUGCUCAACACAUGCUAGUUAAAAACUGACGAUAUCUGUAAUUAAGUCAGUGGUACUCCAGCACAGUCCUGUCUGUAAAUAUUAUUAGACUAUGUUGGUAAAAUUUGUUUCUGUCUUAUGAAGCCCUUUACAUUUCAUCUCUACUACUUAUAAAGGCACCAACUAGGCAGGAAAAUCAAACCUACACCAUACAUGCAUAUUGAUCUAACGAUCCAAAUUCAUUUGUUCUCCCCACCCCUCUGUCCCGCAGGAAAAAAAAACGCCGACCACAACGCCCCACGGGCAACUAAUGGGCGACCCCAAAAAUCACGCCUCCCAUCUCGCAUCUCGCACAAUUCACUCUCCGUCUCUCCCCCGUCCCCAGCCCCCUAUAACUGCUCCCGCCCCAAUGGCAUCGCCCCCUAGAUAUGGCGCCAGGAGCUCUGCUGCGCGCACCGUCGAACCCAGGCGACGACAAGGAAGCGGCCUUGCGGGGUCGUGGAAAACAGCGAUUAGACGGUGGAUGAGUUCCACGUUGAAUCCGCCGCGGGCGUAUGCCGUGCUGCCCGUGCACCCACCUGCCAGGAGCAGGACCCCGGCACGCAGGACCAUCGCCUCCACUGUAUUGCGCCCUGCAGCUGGCCAACUCCUGCGAACUAGAUCGAUCGAUUGCUAAUAGCUUUGUCAUCCUGCUGCUUGAUGGCUGCAUACUAAAGUGAAAGGACUGCACAGUUUCUAAUUCAAAAUAUAUACAUGUGAAUUGUGUGAUAUGAAUUUGAUACCAUAUGAAAUCCAUACUCCUUUGGAGAGAAAAGAGAUUCAGAAAAUAUGCUUUAUAUUUCAGACGUGCGUGCACGUGCGCAUUUACGAGUAAUUUAUCGUGUCAUAAUAACAUGUCUUUAAUGACUUGAAGGGCCACUUAUUCCCUUUGGGCCAAAGGGCCAAAUAUGCAUGUACAUGGAGAAGGCAAUCUGAAAACAUAACACCCUGUACAUGUGAUAUACUUCCUACACAGCCUUGAGCACAUGCCAUACUUAAAGGAAAUGAAGGAUAUGUUUCCUGAGGCUUAUAGAGAGCACAUCCCAGCGCAUCUUGUAGACAGCUUCCAAUAAACUUUUUCUAAUCUGUAUGAACUACUCCCUCCGUCACAUAUUAAGUGUCUCAAAUUUGUCUAAAUAGGGAUGUAUCUAUAUACUCCCUCCGAUCCUAAAUUGUUGUCAAAAUAUUACAUGUAUCUAGACACUUUUUAAGAAUAGAUACAUCCAUAUUUGGGCAAACUUGAGACAAGAAUUUAGGAUCGGAGGGAGUACUAAAAUACGUCUAGAUACAUGUAAUAUUUCGACACUUAAUAUGGGACGGAGGGAAUAAGUUAAAAGCAUGUAUUUCAUAAGACAAUUAUCAUCAUGAUCCAUGACAGAAAUUGGAACAGUCAUUUCACUUCAUGCACGGUAAGACAUUAUAUUUUUGAUGUGGUAAGGCCUUCUCCCUAGCAAGAGAAGCUAGGGCUAGAAAGAUGAGACAAUUUAAGGUUGUGCUUACCAUAAAAUUUGAUACUUCCUCCGUCCAACAAAAGAUGUCUCAAGUUUGUCAAAAUUUGGAUGUAUCUAGACAUGACUUAGUGUAUAGAUGCAUUCAAAUUUGGUCAAAGUUGAGACAUCCUUCGUUGGACGGAGGGAAUAUUUGUUCUUACGAAAGUGGAGAGAAAUUUCAUUAUAUUUUCCUUUGUAUUGAUUUGUCAACCUGAAGGAUGUUGCCCUCACACUUCUAUCAUCUGUCUGAGGGCCAUCUGCUUUCUUCUCUUCUUUUCUGCACCUUCAACCUAUCUACUCCCUCCGUUCCUAAAUAUAAGAUGUUCUAGUUUUGUCCUAAGUCAAACAUCUUAAAGUUUGACUAAGUUUAUAGAAAAAUCUACCAACAUCUACAACUCUAAAUUACUUCUAUUAAAUCAGUCAUGAUAUAUAUCUUCGUAGUAUACUUAUUUAAUAUUGUAGAUGUUAGUACAUUUUUCCAUGAACUUGGUCAAACUUUAAGAAGUUUGACUUAGGACAAAACUAGAACAUCUUAUACUCCCUCCGUCCCAUAUUAAGUGUCGCAACUUUGUCUAGAUACACAUUUACCUACACACUAAAACGCGUCUAGAUACAUGCGUACGCGUAUCUAGACAAAGUUGUGACACUUAAUAUGGGACGGAGAGAGUAUUUGUGAUCAGAGAUAGUAUUUAUUCAGGUUAUUUUUAUUUCUCUUUUCCCUGUAUACAAAUGGGUAUUUACUUACCGGAGUUAUUUAAUAUUGAUUAACAUCCAUAUCCUGUCAGAAUAUUCUGGGAAUCAAAAAAAUUUGAAGGGCAAACAAACUUAAUAGAGCCAUGGUAUGGUACAUCAUACUGUGUUGAAGCAGUCCCUCCUUCAAUUAUACAGGUGCGCAUUGGGACACUACUGUUCUUAGUGUAUUAUCAACUAUAUGUGGAAAAUGCAUACUUUUUGUCUUAUCUUAAAGAUCUGUUUUACAGAAAUGGAUUGAGAAAGCUCCCAAGGAAGAUUUGCACCUCCCAAAACCUAAUAUCUUUAUUCCAACUGAUCUUUCACUGAAAAAUGUCGAGGAUAAGGUAUUUAUAUUUAUAUAAGAAAAACUAUGUGCUUGAUUUUAUUAUGGUUAACUCACAUGAUUGAUUGUUCCGGCUUGUCCAGGCAAAUUUUCCAUGUGUGCUGAGGAAAACACCAUUUUCCAGAUUGUGGUACAAGCCCGAUACAAUGUUCUCCACACCCAAGGUCUACAUUAAGAUGGAUUUCCAUUGUCCACUGGCUCAUAGCUCUCCUGAAUCAUCAGUUCUUACUGAUGUAUUCACAAGGUUGCUGAUGGAUUAUUUGAAUGAAUAUGGUAUGCAACAAUAUCUCUGAUCUCUUUAAAUUUUUAUGGUUCUUAUCGCGUAGGCUGAUAAUUUGUUUCACCGAGUCUUAAUUUCUAUUUACAUGAGGGCUCGCAUGGAUAUAGACACAUAGUUCAUCUCAGAUAGGGCAUAAACAAGCUGUUGUGUGAAUGGUGAAGUAGGGAUCUUUUUUUGGGCGCUAUAUAUUUUUAUUUGGCGAAAACAGGAACUCAUGGUGGGUAUAUCAGUAUAUGCAGUUCAUUUCUAAAGUGAAGUAUAUGGCGUUUAUGUAUGUCUGUCAUCCACUACUUGUCUGGCAGGUGGGAAUGCAGGAAACAAAGAAAAUGUGGGAUUGUCUGGGGUGGGUAGGGUUUGGUAGACCUGGAGUUGCGAAACUUUUGUAGCCUCAGCCUACAGGUUGUUUGACCUUUGAAUCAUGACCAUCCCUGUCAUUUACAUGUGCUCUGGCAGGCUUGUACAGGGUGAAAUUUCGAUGGGUGAAUCGCAUGGGAAUGGGGCCUUAACGCUUCUCUGGUUCAUUUUCCUGUUGCACUAAUGAACCAAUUUUUGUUUUUCUUUCAGCUUAUGAUGCUCAAGUUGCUGGUCUUUAUUAUGUUGUUGGGCCAAAUGACACUGGUUUUCAGGUUAGUUAUGCAAUCCAUUUUGAUAUAUUUUUUCCGUUCAUUGCCUAUCCAGUAUUAUUCACAGGUGUUACUGUUGAGGUACUAUAGCAGCUGUACUGUUCACUAGUUCCGCUUGUGUAACAUUAUCUGGAAACUGGAGUCAGCUCCCCUUUAGUGGUGUUUAUUAUUCAUGUAUGUUUACCUUGUGGACAAGAGUCUGAACUCAUGACUUGAUAUGAGAUGUGUGUUGCUGAAAGUUUAUAUUGUUUUCUAAUCCCCCCAAAAAAUUUAUUGCCUUGUAGGUAACUAUGGUUGGCUAUAAUGACAAGAUGAGAACCCUUUUGGAGACCGUUAUAGGCAAAAUUGCAGAGUUUGAAGUUAGGGUUGACCGCUUUUCUGUGGUUAAGGUAAUGGUUAAUGCUACACUGAGUUGUUUUUAUGGUUCUUGGUUACUAAAUGCCCCCUGGAGGUAAGCUGUGAUGCCAUGAUUUGGUUGUAAUUUGUAUGGGUAGGGAAAUUCAGAACUAGUUAGGUCUAAGAUGAAGGGGUUUUUCUUUUGUCAUUAAAUGACAUUAUUUGUUGUUUUCCGAUUUUAAGCUAGAAUUCUAUGUAUAUUAUAUGACUUGAAGGGGUUUGUCUUUUUUUGUCCUUUCAACAGGAAACUAUGACGAAGCAGUAUGAGAAUUUCAAAUUUCUGCAGCCAUAUCAGCAAGCCAUGGACUACUGUAGAUUGAUAUUGGAGGACCAAACUUGGCCAUGGGAUGAAGAACUUGCUGUACUUUCUAAUCUUGGAGCUAACGAUCUAGAGAUUUUUUGGCCUCAUAUGCUGGCAAAGACAUUUAUUGAGUGCUAUUUUGCAGGUUUGUUCUAAUUGACUUAAAAGUUUUUGUACUUCUCAUUGAGUUAUUUCUUAAUCUUUCUGAUGGCCUUGUUUUUUCUGUCUUCCUAUUUGUAUCUUUACUGAGAGAAUGAUCUGCAUUUCUGCAUUGUUGUUCUUGAUUGAACAUGUAUUUAUUUUAAGGUAAUAUUGAACCGGGCGAAGCAAAAGGUGUUAUCCAGCAUGUUGAAGACACCUUAUUUAACUCACCAAUCGGUGUCUGCAAAUCAUUACUACCAUCGCAGCAUCUUACGAAGCGGAUUGUUAAGCUUGAAAGGGGUUUGAAGUAUUAUUAUCCAGUAAUGGGCUUAAAUCACCAGGAUGAAAAUUCUUCCCUUCUGCACUAUAUUCAGGUAAACCUUAUGCCCUUGUUUCUUCUUCCAUGUUACUCCUCCAUCCCAGAAAAAAUGUCGUUUUAGGUUUUGUAAUUUUUCCCAGAUUAAAUGUCGUCUUAGGGAUAGUUAAUUCUGCAUGCACACGCUUUGCUUCGCUCGGUACUAGAUGUGCAUGUGCUAGCGCAUGCACUGGCACAAGCAUGGGGGCCCACCUUUUGCAUGGCUCACUCAUUGGACAAAGCAAGGCAUGCAGCCAGCGUAUGUGUCUUUCAGCCUUCCCGAGCUGCCGCAUUAAACGCGUUUGUAAAGCUACUCGUAUGCACACAGUGCUUCAUUGGUAUUUGCGUUUGAUCUAAAACGACAAGUAAAAUGGGAAGGAGGGAGUACUUUUAUUCCAUCUCUUUUGCAGAGGGAGUACUUUUAUUCCAUCUCUUUUGCAUUUACAGUUACACUAGUUUGAAGUACCGUUCUUUCACCCUUUUAAGAAUUACUGUUUAUUUGCUGAUGUGCCAUAAUACCAAAUUUGGCUCGUCGAUUGUGUUGCAUGUUGAGCAUUACAACCAACAUGAGAUGCAACAGUUGAAAGUUCAAACACAGCACGAGUGCAUACAAUAACAAUGGGAUAAAACUGAAGAUUGGAGAGAAGAACAAUAAGAAAACAUAAAAUACUGCUGAAGGAGACUGCAAAAUGUCAAUACUUUCUGCAAAUUUUAUUAGAUUUGUAUGACUAGUUAAUUCAAUUUAUGUGCUUUAUACAAGACUGUUAUUUUACAGAUAAAAGGAAUUAUAAAAUACUGAAAUAGUGGGUUUGUACAAAGGACUAAACCAAGGUUUCUGCCGCAACACAGGCACAAUUAUAAUUCUAUGAUUCUAUCAAUUAAAUCUUAGAAGCAGGACUGGGAAAAUAAAUAAAUUCAAAGCAGUUUCUGGCUGGCCUAGCUGAUGCCAGGUUUGGUUUGUAAAUACUUCUGAAUGAUGCUUACGCUUGAUAACAACUGACAGUGAUCAUCAAAUCGCACUUUGGAAAUUAUAACACAUCGGUGCUAUACCAGACUGUAUGCUUCUCUGGGCCAUAUACCAAUAUUCUGCUAGUGUGCUUACGGACCUCGUCUUUGGUAUGGUUGGCGAGCAUUCAGUUUGCUGCAUUACCAUGUUUGUAUGUUAGUGGUAACGACACCUGUGUGAUUGACAUCAUGCUAGCAGAAUCGAUGUUCUUUUUAUGUUGCAUACAUGGACAGCACACAGCAGAAUUUAUGCUCUUUUAUGUGCAUACUUGGAAGCCAAUGUCAGCAACCAGUACCAUGGAUGAAAACCGUACGGAAUCCUGACACUAUAAAUAGGAACUAAAUUCCCGUCCAUGAGAAUUUGAAUCCAGGUGGUGGACUGUUAUGCUAGGCUAGUCUUUUGAGCUAUAUUUCCUGAUCUUAAGUUUUUCAAUACUUUAGCUUGUUAUCUUAGUUUAUCCCUGAAACUCCAGACAUUAAAAUGGUAGUAUAACAAUGUUUCCACUGCUGCAGAUUCACCAGGAUGAUCUCAAACAAAAUGUUCUACUUCAGUUGCUUGCACUUGUUGCUAAGCAACCGGCUUUUCACCAGUUACGUUCUGUUGAACAACUUGGCUACAUAACAUUGCUUAGACAAAGGUAUUGUGGUGCCUUGAUUUUUAUUACAUAAAUGUUAUAAGGAUCUACUACUCCCCAGAAACUAUGUUUCGAAUGCAUUUCACUAUAGAAGAAUGGAAUGGGCCAGUUCAUUAAGAGAAACUGACCGAAAAUCAUGAAUGCAGCGCCCUCAACCGCAUAGCUAAACUAGGCCUAGAGCCCCACCGACAGACAUACCACCAAACCUCCUACAUCAAAAGGACAACCAAGAGGCACCAAGGCCCACAAGCCACACACCGCCGGAGUCAAGAAACUGCACACGCACACUCAACCCGCCAAGAGAGGCAUGAGAGAUUUAAAUUUAAACACGGUUGGCCAAGAGAUUUGCCUGGGCCACUCAACCGGCAAAGCACAUGACUUGUAUAACCACUCCCAACACCGUCCCCAUCGGAGGUCCCUACCGUACUAGGAUUACGUACACCGUCAUCGAGCAGAUCAGACCUGCCUUGAACCACAAGGGCGUAAGAAACUCUAAAAACUACUCCGCUGGAAGCACCACAGAGAACCUUGUACCACCGUCUGGAAGCUGCACGUCGCGCAGUAGACACCCACAACGUCAUCAGUCAUCACCACUGGGAAAGAGAAACCAGAUUCACUACCAGAGGCACAGAGAGUCAGGACCCUGCACUUUCCUUGACGCCCAUCAAGUCUUUGGCCCCUCCUGUCCUCCCAAACUGCUGCUGUCUGAGUAGCCCACUGACACCACCUCCUGAGGCCACCACCUCGGCAACGCUCACACCCAAGUAAUCGUAUUCUGGGCCGGAGCAAUGAACCUAUUUGAAGUGGCCCAUUUCGUGCCAGAAAAGCCUAUGUAUGAACAAGGGUUGAUUUUACUUCCACACUUAGCUACCCUAGGUUGGGGAGUCGGGCCAGGGGGAGAAGUUCUCGAUACUUUUCCGUACUUUGUAUCUGGAGUACUUCACCUAAUUUCCUCCGCAGUCUUAGGCUUCGGUGGCAUUUAUCACGCGCUUCUGGGACCCGAGACUCUUGAGGAAUCUUUUCGUAGCGUCAAAUGGGCCGGCCACCCCUCAGCUCAAGCCGCACCAAUCAACAUGCAGUCUGCGGCCACCACGAUGAUACCCGGGCUGGCUGCCCCGACAUCCACGCCCAGCCGUAAGGGGGAGCACAAGUUGCUGUCAUUGUCCGGGACCUCCUAUCAUUUUGCCUUCGACCUCACUGGAAGUCCAGCCGAAGGAGGUUGGUGGCCCUGCUGCACCGUGGUCACCAGGACUCUCUUCCUGGGCCGGACCCGACCUAGAUCAGGCCUAUUAACCAUGCAUGCCGAGGAUGCUUGGAAAUGGCAUAGCAGUGUGCAGACCUCUGAUACACCGAGGAAGCACGAAAUGCGCUGGGACCUCCUUCUCCGCCAGCUAUGGAUCUGCCGCUGCCGGCAUCUUUGCGCACAAACAACUGAACAAAGACACUGCACAACCGUACACACCCGAGUCAUGUCAGCUCUGUUUGCCGCCGCUGCUCAGCUACAUUGUACCCACAGCCAGCUAGGUCUCGGCUGCACUCACCUCUGGCAUGAAAUCACAGGAGGUGGUUGUAGGCCUAUUUGGGUGGCGGCAGCAUCUCCAGUGUCUCCCUAGGUCGAGUGACACGGCAAGCUCCUUGCCAUAUUUUUCUGUUUUUUAUAAGAAUUUCCACUUCUUAGCAGGGGCGGAGCCAGGCCUGGUGCACAGCACCGGCCUGGCAAGGAUGCUCACAAGAGGAUUCAUCAAGUAUUUAGUUCAUUAGUAUGUAAAAUCCACAAGUAUAGCACCAUUAGUCCUAUCUUAGCACCAUCCUUGCCCGGUUUUUGGCUCCGCCACUGCUUGGCAUCAUUGAAAUGUCAACGGUGGGGCAGGGGAAAAAACUGUGCAGGAAGUUGCGUAAACGGACCAUGUGGUAGUAUGUAUCCUACUUUUAUCAUUUUUAAUAAAUACAACACUAUUUCUUACAUGGCGCCGUAUCUGGUGAAAACCUUAGUUCGGUGCAAACCGUGCAAACUUCAUGAAAAACCAUGUUUAAAAGUUUCAAAAAAAUUCUACAAAAAUACCAUAUGUCGGGAGUUUGAUGUUCUACAAACCUGCAAAAUUUCAAGUUCAAAGUCAAAAUCAUUUAGAAGGAAUUAAAAAGAGAAAUUUACAAUGAAUAGUGUCAGACAUUGAAAGAUCACUAUUCAUGCAGAAUUUGUUUUUUUCGCCGCUACCAAAUGCCAUUGAGUUUGGACUUGAAAUUUUGCACAUAUAUAAAACAUCACUUUUUUAACAUAUUUAAUUUUUUCGAGAAUUUUUUGAACCUUUUUCGAUGGAGUUUCCACAGUUUGCACCGUAGAGGUGGUUUUCACCUGAUAUUUUGCCUUCUAACAUACUUCAAAAACUAUGCACGCAGCAUCUUGCAUGCUCUCGGAAAUAAAACUAUGUUCUUUGCUUUGCUUUUGGAUAAAUGUUGUAUUUUAUCUGACCAUGCAAUCCUGGUUACCCAGAAAUGAUUCAGGAGUCCGUGGGUUGCAAUUUAUAAUUCAAUCAACUGCAAAGGUGAUAUCUUUUCUUGUUACAAUUCAAGUUCUUUAAAUCGUUCUCCCGUCCUAAUACAUUUGGUUAACAGGACCCAUUCAGUCUAGACGCUAGGGUUGAAGCUUUCCUCACGAUGUUUGAAGGCACUCUAUACCAAAUGCCUGAUGCAGAAUUCAUGGUUAGAUGCACCCUGUCACUGCUACUCAUUGGCUUCUGCUACAGGUAGAAGCUCUGUUGCAUGGUUCUACUAUUUUAAACAUCUAUGGUCCAACCUGCAGAGUAAUGUCAAUGCUCUCAUUGACAUGAAACUGGAAAAAUACAAGAAUAUAAGGGAGGAGUCAGCUUUCUUCUGGGGGGAGAUUUCUGAGGGAACACUGAACUUUGGUAGGAAGGAAGCAGAGGUACGUCUUAUUUGUUUAUUUUGCCCUUUGAAGUAUCGUUUUUUAACGUUUUGAGUUCUAUAAUUGUAGGUUGCUGCACUAAGGGAGCUCAAGAAGGAUGAGCUGAUAGAAUUCUUCAAUAAUCAUGUCAAGGUGAACGCACCAGAAAAGAAGAUUCUUAGUGUACAAGUCUAUGGCGGUCUUCAUUCCUCGGAGUACGAAAAGAUACUGCAUGAUGCUCCACCACCACAUUCGCAUCGAAUAACUGAUAUAUUCAGCUUCAGGAGGUCGAGACCUUUAUAUGGUUCAUUCAAGGGAGGCGUUAGUCAGAUGAAGCUAUAGGAUAACUUAGUUGUAUUUAUCAAAAACAGAAAGGCUCAUUUUUACAUGUAAUUUGCAUUGUUCCUAAAGAUAUUUUUAGUUUUACAUUUCGCUAGGGUGAAUUGCAUACUUUAAAAAUGGCAUUCGUCUGGUGUAAUCUUCCAACUUUCUGUCAAAUUCAUGAUAAGCAUGCCUUUUUCAUUACUAAUAAUUCUAGGCGUCUGUAUAAUUCCAUGAGCAACUGCAAGCUUCAUAAUAGUUGCAAUAGAUACCCUGUUUGUCUCGGCUUCUUUUUUCUUUUUUCUGAGGGAGUCUGACUCACCUUUUUAAUUAGUUGAUCUGAGAACCCUUACAGCUAGAGGAAACCGUUUCAUCCUGAUUGUCGAUUGUGCCUAUAGUACGCUUUUAUUUGCUUUUAUUUUAAUACUCCCUCGGUUCCAAAUUUUUUUUUCGAAAUAUUACAUGUAUCUAAAUGUUUUUUAGGAAUAGAUACAUUCAUUUUUGGGCAAAUUUAAGACAAGAAUUAUGAAAUGGAGGGAGUACAUCCUUGGACUGGCAAACAAUAUCUUCCAUAGAGCUUAAUGAUUUCCAACGGGGACGGAAAAUUUGGGCACAUAUGACAAUUUGGUGCUUUGAGCCAUCUACUUGCUCGUCAGUGUCGUGUUUCAGCAUGCGGAAUUGCCUUCCGAAGGACAGUUUAGGUACGAUCUCUGUACGAUUAUGGGACGAAGAAUGUAUGUGUUGAAAUUACUAGGCCAGCACAUGUACUUUCUCAUAACAAAUUAAGAAAACGAUUCCCCAAGAAAAAGGAUUGUAGACAACCCAUGUUACCCCUGGAAAUCAAUGGCAAGACGACGCUAAUACAGCUCAAUUAAGAGACAUCUGGUUCUGUGUAAACAGGUGCCAUGAAUGUCUCAAGUACGUCUGCAUCACACUGGGGAAUCGUUAAAGAAGCAGCUUUUUACGGUACCUUCAAAAGGUAUCAAGAUCAGCUGCCUCCUUCCCGAGGACGAAACUUUCCCUCGGACGUACCGAACUGGAAUCUGGAGAAGUGCUAACCUCCAACACGAUGAUUGUAAGAUCGUUACAUGCCAGCAGUUUGUUGCAUACUGACAACAGAGGACUCUGGACAACAGCUAGAUGGUCCAACCGUCGUGGAGGAACUGGUCGCGGUCGAGCGUGUACCGCCCGUGAAAGAAGAAGAAGAAGCUCCGGCACUGGAGGAAUCACCGGGCGCCGGCGAGCCAGCGGCAGCAGGGUUACGUUUGCCGCUGUACCCAGCUGCAACGGUCGGCGAGUACGUCGGCACGGGCAUCUUCGGAGGAAGACAAGGCAACGGAGCCUCGAACUGAAGCACGCCUAGCGCUUGCUUGAUAGACGGCCGCGCGCCACGGUCCGGGUGCGCGCACCAGAGCCCCACCACCAGCACGCGUUCCACCUGCGUUUGGUCAAAUUCGCCGCCGUUCAGGCGAUGGUCGGCCGCCUCUAGAACUGCUCCCCGGCCGUAGAGGCCCCAGACCCACUCGAGGAGGGAGGAGUACUCGCUGUCGUUGGCCUCCUGAUCCGCUCGGGCCGGCAGCCGCAGCACCGGCACUCUGCCGCAGCAGAUCUCAAGCAGCACGAUGCCGAAGCUGUAGACGUCGGACGCGGUGCUCGCUCUGCCGGACGCGGCGUACUCUGGGUCCACGUACCCCCUGGUUCCCGCCACAACCGCCGUCUGCAAGCUGUUGCCAUGGUCGAGCAGCUUCGCCAGCCCGAAGUCGCCGAGCUUGGCGCCCAAGGACGCGUCCAGCAUGAUGUUGCUGGGCUUCACGUCCCUGUGCACCACGCAUUUGUCGCACCCCACGUGCAGGUAGAGCAGCGCCGAGCCGAGCCCGAGCGCGAUCUCGUACCUGCUCGGCCACGUCAGGACGACGCUGCUGCCCGAAGCGCCGUGGAGGCGGGCGUCGAGGCUGCCGUUGGGCACUAGCUCGUAGACGAGCAGGAACUCGCCGCCGCGGUGGCACCAGCCCACGAGCUCGACCAGGUUGCGGUGUCUUAGCCGGCUUAUGAUGGAGACCUCGGCGACAUAUUCUUUCCUCCCCUGCUGGGAGCUCUUGGAUAUCCUCUUCACGGCCACGUCAAGACCCAGGUCGCUCAAGGAACCCCUGUACACCUCGCCGAAGCCACCUUCCCCGAGCUUCCCGUCCUCGGAGAAGUUGUUGGUCGCGGCGGCGAGUUCGCCGUAGCGGAAUCGCCUCGGGCCGGUGCCGUUCUCGAACUCCUCGUCCAUGCUGCACCGGUCGUCCGAGUCGGCAGACGCCAUCUCCUGUUGGUGCUCCUCGCUCAUCCGCCGGCGCCUCACCAUUAGAAACCGGAUCAAUACACCCACAACAACGACACAUAUUAGCAUGGCACCGACAGCCAGUCCGACGAGCGGCCGGACAAUACUUUUGGAGGGAAAUUGUUUGACCGAUAUAUCGGGCGCUUUUUCUUCCGUCACAUUGUGUCCUCUCGGUUCCUGCGGUGUCACCGCCACCAUUUUCGUCGCCGCCAACGUGGAGUUGAAAGACCAGGUGAGCACGCGAUGCAGAUCAACGGACCAACCGCUCGCGGCAGAGAACCCGAUGGCCACCUCGGAAGGAAGUAAGCUCUCGAGAUCAACGGUAGUAUUGAGCUCGUACCUCGCCAUGCCACCAUCUGAGCUGCGCUUUAGCUGUAGGGCGACGGCGAGCAGUUUUGUACUGCUGUUGUAGCUCACCCACGCAACCAUCGGCUCCUCAGAGCCGGCGAGCUCGCCCGCCGGCAGCUCCAGUACCGCGAUGGAGUUGAUGGAGUUGACGUCGAUCCCGAUGUGGUUGAUGGUCGGGUCCCAUUCGUUUGAGAAUGUGUCGAAUUCCACCGCCACCACAGCUGGUGGAGUCGUACCGGCGGGGGUGCUUUGGUUGAAGAGGCCGAGGUAGCCGCCGCCACUGAAGGGAGGCAUUUUUGACGGGUGGGACGAGAGGAAGAAGGCGAUCCCGUCGCCAGGCGCGAAGGUGCUGUUGUCGAUGGCCGCCUUGAUGACGAAGGAGAAGCUGGUCGUGAAGCUCGUCACCUCGCCGGUGGCAUUGUCCCAGAGGGGCACCGGCUUGCUGUAUGACGCCCGGCCCCAACAGUUGCACUUGCCUUGGGAUCUAGGAACGGGAUUCUGGGUGAGGUCGAUGGGGCUGUCAUCUUGUUGAGGGAGAGUCGCGGGUCCCUCGGUCGUGAUGUCGGCACGGUCGUAAGUGGCAGAAUCGGAGAAGUUGUAGCUGAACGACAGUGGCCUGCAGCGAGGAAGCUUGGAGAUGAGCAAGAAGGAAGUGAGGAGUAAGGCUGCAGGGAUUGUUGAGCUCACGACACCCAUUGCCGCUGCCAGGAAGUCAGGGACACAAAUGGCGCGCGGCAGCAAUGUGGAAGAAGAUGCAAGCUAAUUUAUCGCAAACAGCGGUUGGCCGGAAAGACUUUUCUACGGGCACGUCAUGUAGCGUUACUGUUCUAGCGAUCAGCAGCUAGCUAUUCUCGUUGGCAAACCGGGCCCUUUGCAAAGGUGUUUUUACUUGAGCAAAGCGACGACCCAGAAAGGACUCUCUCGACAAACAGGGCUGUUCAUGCACAGCAGAUACAAGCAGAGAGCCCACGUACUGCUCGUCUUUCCAGUCACCCAGAGCGAGUGCGGCCCACCACGUGUUGCCGUGUUGGUUGUCAUAAGGUGUCGCGGCGGUGACCCGGGUCAAGCGAAACCCCACACAUUCAAUCACGCUGCAUGAUUGGCGCGUCUAUCUUGGCCCUCGUUGCCACCGUUUGCAAAGGGAGUCUCAGUCUGGUCGAUCGGAGGUCUCGCUGACGACCCAAGCGAGACCGAGACGACGCGACGCGCUUGAAGCGCUUCAUUCCCCUGGACGCACCACGAAAGCGGGGCGACGUGGCUUCAACCGGGACAGGACGAAAUACAGGUUGCUGCGUCUUCCGGGGUUCGGGCCACUUUAUUUGAGCUGGCGAUCACAUUCACACGACGGGUUCAUGCGGACGAGCUAGACGAGCAAAUAGGCCCACGCUAGGAUUCCGCCGGAAAUCACCAGACACCGUUCAUUUUGUUGCAUCAAACGAUUGCGCGUAGAAUCGUUGCAAGUUGCAAUGUAGCAGCUGGCCUUCCGUACGCACCAAAUAAAAUGUUUAUUUUUAGCACGUCGAAACAUCGCCUUACAACAUUGAAAAUUUUAAGUUCACCAACGUUGCAUUUUCUUGGCCGAUUCGAGCUCCACGGCGGCGAAUCCGGUUCGUCAGAAACCCCAUCGGAGCCUGAUCAGACCCAUUUUCCCUCAAUCUACGGCUCAAUGGUGAGAACUUGAGCCCCACGAGAUGAAGUCAUCCCAAGGGCUCCAUGGAGGAGGAGAAAGAAUAGGAAGGGGACGCCAUUCCCUCCUUGCUCUUUCAUUUCCCCGCCUCGCGGGGGAACACGAGCUAUUGUCAUGAUUGUUUGCCUUAAGCUGUCGCGGCCGGCGACCGGGUCAAGCGAAACCCCACACAUUCUCAAUCAUCUCAUUGCCACCGUUUACAGGAGGUCUAGCUGACGAGCACGAAGCUGCUAGCUCUCGGAGUAGGUGACAGCGCGACAAGCUCCCUCGCCCUGGAUACAUGAGGCACGUCGAAAGCUGGACAACGUACGGCACAACGCGGCUUCACCUGGCCGGCGACCGCUAGAUUUUGAUUUGAGCUGGGCACGGAACCGGAUGAAAUACAUGGUGCUGUGACUUUGAGCUUGCGAAUUGCGAUCAUGGGCCUGUGGCUGGUGGUCUAGCUGACUGAGGGCCUAGAGCCACCAGCCACGGUGCAAGAGCUUCAAAGAUCCAGAAAAGAUGAAAGAUGAAAUGGCAUCCAUUAUCAUUUUUGUUUUCUCCUCCUUAAAACUGUACUUGCCUUAUCUCAAUUGAGAUGCGCACCAAAGGUUUCAUGUGAAUCGGAAAUAAACCUAUCUAAAAGUUUAUACAAUGUGGUUUGCUCCCCUUCCCUAUGAGCAUUUGGGCCCUGAACAUAAAUGGCAAUGAUAAGAGCAUAGAAAUCACAUUAUGCCCUACAAAACUGAAUAUUGACAAUAGAAUGAGACGCAAACAAGAAGCGGACAGAGUGUUGGUUGAUGAUAUUUCUUCUGACCCCUCUGUUGCUUCAUGGUGACUGCGGUUGCACGAUAAGUCAGACGCGCUAGGCUGUGCUCGGUGAGCACCCAGCACAAAAUCCUAGCUUAUGCGACCGCCACCCAAAAGAUAUCCUUGUGGACCAAGGAUACGGCGGCGCCAACACAGACCAAGAGGGGGCAGAGAUGAAAGGCAAUCUUACCAUGUGCACUCUUUGAAGCUAAAGUUCAUCGGGGUAUAAUCAAAUCGAUUAAAUAAGGAGUAAAUUUUACAAAGCAAUCAGGUAUAACAGUACUCAUGAGAAAUGACUCAGGAGCAGGAGCAGGUUUAUGCUUUUGACGUUCCUCCAUGUUCCUUCUCAACAUGCUCAACGAGCAAGACUGGAUCUCGAAAUCCCUUGCUACACUUGGGGCAAGCAUCGAUGGUCACUUUACCACGACUCGACUGUGAGUUGUUCCCAUGGGAUUUCUCAGCGUGCUCAAUUAGGGCCCCCACAGUGGAAAAUUUUGCUGGACACUGAACACAUUGCUCCACGAGGCCACUGCUACUAGCACUGUUCGGGGUGAUCCCAUCCUUAGCCAUCUGGACGGCUUCACUGGUGGCAAUGCUCAAUUUUUGCAUUCCAGCUUCUGCCGAUGAUCUCAAACUUGAUGCUGCAUUCAAAAGGCUGGAGCUCCACCAGGACGAACUACCGCUACUGCUACUGCUGCUCGUGCGUGGCUGGACUUUCUGACUUCUCCUUAGCAUGUUGGAAAAGGGGAAGGUAGGCUCCAGUUUUCUUGGACCCGGACACUUGUGAUCAGGACCAAAUCUGUGCUUGAGGCAGUGUUCAUUGCUGCAAUCUUUGCACCUGAUUGUGUUUGAAAAUGUCAGUGCUUCUCUGCACCCAGGAACUGGGCAUUUCUUUUUCUUUGUUGCUUUCUGGUAAUUUGAUGGAUCACAGUCGGUAUUAACAUGAGAGUCCCAGGUGAUGUUUGCAUCUUCAUUUGGAUUCAGGCGAACUCCUUUAGCACAGAGUGGGCAGAUGAGGACAGUUACAUCCUUUUUAUUUGCAUUCAGACAUUUAUGUGAUGUAUAACUUCGGUGCUGAAGGCAAAAGACCUGAACGGCAUACAAUGGCUAACAGCAUUUAGUGAUGACAAGUUGACAACAAUAAAAAGAAUUAUGACUUGUGAGAAUCAAGGUACCCAUGAAUUUCAAAACGCAAACAAUUUCAGAAGACAAAAGCUGAAUUCCCAGAAUAAUAAAUACUAAAUAUUCUGUGAAAGCAUGCCAAUAGAACUACGUCAGCAAAAAGGUUCACUCUUACUAUACAUGACAACCAUCCUCGGUGCAAAUGUGCAAGGGGGAAUGAAUUGUCUAUCUGUUAUUUUUAGCGAGUGCUGUGACAAGGAUAUGGUAUUUGAAAUUCCACUUGUUGCACGCUUCAAAGCAAGUUAGACGAAUGUGAAGGUAAGUAUUGCCCGGUAAUAACUGCAUGUUAUGAUGAGAAUCAAGGGGGUCAAUCACUGUACAUGGGAUUUUUUUUAAUCUGAUACUCCUUUGAUGUUAAAAAAAUGACUAACCAAUAUGAUUUGCAGAAAGUUCCUUUUACUCUGCUGCAUGACAAUGGGCAGUUGGGAACAGAUUCACAGAAGGUUUCUCAUUCAAGUAUUAGAAAAUGUGUAUGAAUAAACCAAUCACAGUGGUCUUAAAGAUAAUGAUUCAAGCAACCAAACUAUUUUGACCAUCUAAAAUUUGGAGUUUAUGAUUCUACAUUCAUCAACUGAAGAAGAAAAAGAGAAGUCAUACAGAGCAUGUGACCAAUUGAAGUAACACCACGCGAAGACACAGGAGUUCUAUUUCACGGGAAAAGGACAAAAGCACUAUAUUUCAAGAUGGCAAACGUUAGAUACUCUACCCUGUGGGACAGGCGAAAGAAAGGUUCUUCUUCAUUCAUGCUGCCCAGCCCAGGCAGCAAGAUGAAUGGCCCUUUCUCCUUAGGGCAGUCCCCAGAUCACUAUCCUGGAACCGCGUCCCCCUAGAAUACUACUCCCAGGUCUAUUUCAGGAAACCGCAUCCACAGAAAAGGGCCAAUUCUCGGGUUCCAUGAUUCACAGAACAAUCCAUAGCUUGCGCAAGCUCUAGACGCAAAGGGAAACGAACAGGGGAGGCGGAAAACAUACGUGGUCGCACCGGUCGCAGGUGAAGGGGAGGAAAUCGAUCUGGUUGCAGUCGCCGACGCUGCAGUGCUUCCCCAGGUCGGGGAACUCCGGCGUGCCCAUCGCCCGCCCGUGGGGGGGCCUAGCGCUUGUGCGCGGGGUCGGGGAGGGGAAUCCUGGUCAACUCGCCGUGCGCGGUGCGCCACCGCGACUCCGUCGGCUGCUUCGUGCGUCGGUUGUUGGCUUGGCACCGGAAGGCAAGGCAGGAAGGGGAGGGGUCUCUGAUUCUGAUUUGUAAACGGUUUGACGGUGUGCUUUUUCGGCGAGGACCUCGGAACUCGUCGGUAUUUCAUUCCGAGGUACUCGUUAGGAUUUGGUACAACGAACCUCCGUUUUUGUCUUCCGAGUUGGCAUGUUCCGUCAGCCGAUGCGUGAAAGACACGGAGCUGGGGAAAUGCCGGGAAACCCUCUUUUUCCGUGGGCCGCCAGACCACCGAGUUGGGUAGUACUCGUUACUUUUCAUAAUUUUUGUCUCGAAUUUGUUAAAAAAUAAAUGUAUCUGUUUCUAAAAAAUGUCUAGAUACAUGUAAUAUUUCGACAAGAAUUAUUAAACGGAGAGAAUACAACAAAAGAUCAAGAACAAAACUGUGACUGGGCUGUUUUAUAAUUUUUAUUAUUUGGACUUUUAUUUUUAUUUUUCAUGAUAGCAACAGAGCUGCUGCGAUCCAUUGAUCUGAAGAACUGUCAGGAGACACCAGGUGACACGAAACGGCAGCAAGGGCAAGUCUGACUAUGUCGGACAAAACACAGUAAAAUUAAGUGCAAACCUUCCGGUGCCAAUAUCAUCGUCGUCAUCACAAAAGCGUUCAGGAUCCAACAACUUGUAUUUCGUUGCAACAAUGUCGCCAAGGUGCACCCCCACCCGCCACAUCGUAACCAAGCCUAUAUAGACAGGUCGGUCGACUCCAUCGGCACCUAGAGUAUAUCUAAAAGGAGGCCAACUUAUGCCUCUGGGAUUUGAGAGAACGAUCAACAUGACCGUGAUACAACGGCUUCAUGGGAGGAGCUCGUAUCCGUGCCGCAUUCUCCAACUCCUCCCAUGAGAAGUUAGGAACUCUGUACUCCAUGGGCUUGUGUGAUGAGUGUUGUUGCCUGCCUUUACGCAAGGCUAUUUGCGGUGUAUUUGUUUCUUUUAAUAUGAGAAGUUAGGAAUGCUUGUGUUUAUUAGUUAUUCUAAUGUUGAGAUGUGGAAUGACCGGAUUUUAUAAUUCGAUUUGUAGCCACCAAUUUGCCUCGUCUACAUAGCCCAAGGAGUACAAAGUUCAUCAAAAAAUUUAAAAAACUUCUACUCCCAAUUCACAUGUAUUUCUCCGAUCCAUAUUAAUUGUCGAAAUAUUACAUGUAUCUAGACGAUCUUUAGGCAUAGAUCAUCCAAAAUCAGGCAAAUUUGAGAUAAUUAAUAUGGAUCGGAGGGAGUAUUAAAAUUCUGAACACAGUGAAUAAACAGUCUAUGAAUAAAUAACCCAAUAAACCUCAAAGCAUAACGCUAGAGUAUACGAUGACUUAUUUUUCCUUCUAAUUCAUGCUAUUGACCUUGUAAUUUUUUAUAUUGCGGCCGUCCCAUAGAUGGAUGAAGCUUUUAUCGCUCUGGGUUUUCUUUGAAAGAUAUCGCUCUGAUUGGGUGUCACGUACGUUAUAUGUGGUCUCACGUGAGUUGAGAACACAAGAGUUAGCCGAGAGAGCAAAGAAACAACUCUAUUCAGUCUCACGCGAACUAGUAAAAUACCGUUCCAAGAUAAGUUGCUCCCUCCAUCUAACAAAAGAUGUCUUAAGUUUGUCAAAAAUUGGAUGUAUCUAGACAUGACUUAGUGUAUUGAUGCAUUCAAAUAUAAUUUAGUUUGGAUGUAUCUAGACAUUCAUAUUUGGGCAAAUUGAAAUCUAUUGGACGGAUGACCUGAAAAGAAAAAAAAUUUAAGGGCUGGGGCGCUACGCUAAAGAAUAGCAUCUGGUUGUGAGGCCAAAGAAAACGAGAAGGGCUAGAUAAUAGUAUCUGGUUGUGAGGCCAAAGAAAACGAGAAGGGCUAGAGAACUCAAAUUUAGUUUAUUUUGGAUGUAUCUAAACAUUCAUAUUUGGGCAAAUUAAAAUCUAUUGCACGGAGGACCUGAAAAGAAAAAAGUCCAAGGAUAGUAUCUGGGCGCUACGCUAGAGAAUAGUAUCUGGUUGUGAGGGCCUGGAAAAAAAUAUCAAGGGACCGGUGUGUGAAACCUCAAAAAAAUUUGGACCAUUUCUCGAUUUGUGCGUGUCAUCCUUGCGCAGGGGCCAUGCUAAUCUUCUCUGUAUCGUUCCAAUUUUAUCGGAUGUCCCCGAAGGGACAACUACGGUGCGGAGUGGUACGUUAUAAGGUGGUCGGAACAUUAUUAGCUGGGCGAGGUGGUACUAAUCGUGGAUGCGUCUGUUGUUGCCCCAAGAGCCAAGACCGAACCGAACUGCUCAACGAAGCGAGAGCCAGCGAGACUAAUGGGCUUCUAUAUGUUGCUUCAGCCCAAGUCAGCAGAGAGGCUGAUUGUGUUGGCUCAGAGCCUCAGACCAAGUCAGCAGAGAUGCUAAUUGGCUUCUUUCGUUUUCCCUUCCCCUUCACGUUUAAUUUGUUUCACGAUUCCGGUCUGGUGCUGGAUUAUUCGAGCGAAACAGAAAAAUUCAACGUCUCUGGUUGCUGACUUGGUAUUUCCAUUCGUCCAUUCCAGUAGUUUGUCACUAAGGAAGAGUAACAAAGAACAAAUUGUAGCAACAGUGUCGAGGACACGAGCGGGUCUUUUGUUUGGUACGUAGACGUUGGUGAGCGCGAGGACGACCUCCAUGCCCUGCCCCGGCCCUAACGAAGCCCUCGUGGGCUGUCAAAGCUGCCUCGAUCAAGGAAGGGACGGGUCGAUCAGAAAGAAGAAAGAGAGUAUACUGCAAGCUUGAAUCGAAAAUAUGAGAGUAAAUUGCACAAAACCACCGCAUGAUUUAUUUCAAAAACCACCGAUUUUACUAAUUUUCGUGCAAAACCACCACAAUUUCGUGAAGUUAUUGCACAUAGCACUGGUUCCGUCGUUUACGACGUAUAAACGCGUUUCUGACCGACCGGACCCACAUGUCAGGUUGACCAGGCCGAGACGGCGUUACGCCGUCCGUUAGCCAGGUCUGUACAAGCCUUUCUCCUCUCCCGCUGACUGCAGACCCCACCAUCAUCAUCCUCCUAUUCGUGUAUCCACCCGCCCUUGCUCCCUAUCAGCGCCGGCCGCCUCGCGCGGCGCUGCUGGUCCGCCGCCGCGCGCCUUCACUGCAUCCCCCCGCAUUGCUUGGUUCCGCGCUGCUGCAGCCCCCCGCCCUGCCCGCCGCCGCCCUAGCCUCCCCACGCGCCGCUGCUUGCGCGCCUGGCCAUGUGCGCCCCUCCGCGCUGCCGCCGCCCCUGCUGCCCGCAGCCGCGUGCGCGCGUUGGAGCUAGCUGUCCAUGCGGCUGCUCGCCGGAGACAAAGAAGAGAGAGGGAGUAAUCCAAGCGGCUCUCACGGACGGCGUUAACAUCAGUUCGGCCCAGUCAACCCGACAUGUGGGCCUGGUCGGUCAGAAACGCGCUUAUAUGCUGCAAUCGACAGAACUAGUGCGAUGUGCAACAACUUCACUAAAUUGCGGUGGUUCUGCACGAAAAUUAGCAAAACCGGUGGUUUUCGUAAUAAAUCACUGAAAUGUGGUGGUUCCAUGCAAUUUACUCAAAAUAUAACAAAACAUGCAUUCACAGAGUGCUCGCCCUUGCCUAUAGUCUAAUAGAGUUGCAGCUCGGUUAAGCUGCGUCGGUGUUGUAGUGUUGUCCGGUUAAGCCUUCAAUUUACUCGUUUCGUCCGCAGGACCGAACCCGUCGUGACCAAUGAUCGACGACCCGAGAUCGCAAGCUCAAAGUCGCCCGAACCCCGAAGGCGCAGCACCAGCUGGUUGGUUCCAUGCCCAACUCGAAUAAAAUCCAGCGGUCGCCGCCCGAACGGCCGAUCGAAGCCGCGUUGUCCGGUUACGUCGCCUAAACCGAGAGCGACCAACUUGGUCUCGGUCUCGCCUGGGUCGUCGCUCCUCGUCAGAUAGACCUCCGAGUCUCCGACCGACCAGACUCCGUUUGCAAACAGCGAGCAACCAACCAUGCAAGGUGAUUGAAUGCGUGUGGGGUUUGGCUUGACCCGGGGUCGUGGCCCGGCGCCCGCGGCAGCCUACGGCAAGCAACCAACCAGCCAUGCCAGCACGUGGUGGGCCGCCUCUUGAUGACUCGAAAGGUGAGCAGUGAGAUAUGUCCUCGCUUUACUACUCAAGUAAAAGUGUAAAACACCCUUGCAAACGUGCUGAUCGUGAUCGGUAGGCUGCAUGACAUGCCCGGUAGGGCGGUAGAAAACUAAGAAAAGUCUUUCCGACCUCAGACGCCAACUGUAAGCGCUUGGUAUUUGCAAUAAAUUGUUUGCGGAAUGCAACCAUCGAUCAGUACUUCUCAGAGAGUAGCGCUACCUACACCUGCACGCAUGCAUUAGUCUGCAUCUUCUUCCACAUCGCUGCCGCGCGCCAUUUGUGUUUCUGGCAGCGGCAAUGGGUGUCGUGAGCUCAACGGUCCCUGCAGCCUUACUCCUCACUUCCUUCUUGCUCAUCUCCAAGCUUCCUCGCUGCAGGCCACUGUCCUUCAGCUACAACUUCUCCGACUCUGCCACUUACGACCGUGCCGACAUCACGACCGAGGGAGCCGCGACGUACUCGCCGACCGUUGCAGCUGGGUACAGCGGCAAACGUAACCCUGCUGCCGCUGGCUCGCCGGCGCCCGGUGAUUCCUCCAGUGCCGGAGCUUCUUCUUCUUCUUUCACAACGGGAGGUGCGCGCUCGACCGCGACCAGUUCCUCCACGACGGUUGGACCAUCUAGCUGUUGUCCAGAGUCCUCUGUUGUAAGUAUGCAACAAACUGCUGGCAUGUAAAGAUCAUCGUGUUGGAUGUACUCCGUCCGAAGGAAAGUUUCGGCCUUGUGGGAAGGAGGCGGCUGGUCUUUAUACUAUUUUAAGGCACUGUAAAUUAAAAGCUUCUUCUCUAAAGAUUCCUCAGUGUGAUACUGUGAUGCGGACGUGAUGACACUCGUAGCAUUUUGUUUAUACAGAACCUGCGUAUCUCUUAAUUGAACUGACAAAACUGAACAGACCGAGAUAAAUCCAGGUUCAGUUCAGGUUUUUCGGUAGUUUGGUUCUUGGUUAAUAUGCCCACCCCUACCUGGCUCCUGGCAUCAUGGGUUGGGCUGCGAGAUCGUGCUGAAGAGGAUAAAUACAGCAGCAUCGUAACUCAGCGUUUCCGCGGGUAAAACGACGUGCGUACAGAGUACUGAUACAACGACAAACCUUCUCUGGGCGUGCAACGAGCCGUUUUCGCGGGUAAAACCCGCCACAGCUCCACACACAAAAAUCAGCCUAAUCCAAGUAUCCAACCACCGUGUACCCCCCACCAGGCCGGACCCCUCCGCGAGUCCUCGUCGAUCCACUGCCGUCACACGGACACGCCUGCACCACCCAUCCAAGACCCCCCUUCCCUUUCCGCGCGUCACCCCAACGUCGUCAGGCCACACGGCAAGCUUCCUAAAUCUCGCCAUCUUCUCCUCGGUCAGCGCGAUGGUGGUCGUCGUCGUCGCGCAGGCCGCAGCGGCCGUCACGCCGGUGGUGGCCGCGGCCGCGCCGUCCGUCUCGUCGCGGGGCGCGGCUGGGACCGGAGGCCGAGGGAUGGGGUGGCGCCGGCGGCGCAGGGGGAAGGGCGCCUGCCGCGGCCGCGGGCUCGUCGUCGUGGGCGCGUUCGGCGGGCAGUACGAUGACGGGUUCGGAGACGUGGAAUUGGUAUGUGCCGCUGCGCUUGAAUGAAUGAAUGCACGGUCACUCGAAUUGCUCGCAGACACGAUUAAGAUGCAUUGCGAAUAGUGUUGGUUUUUGUUGUUGUUGAAAGGAGUUCAAUUGAUGAAUGAAACCAUCCCGCAUUUCCUGCAUAUCCUCCAGAAAGUAGCUAGCAGGACGUCUGAACUUGAUUGAUAUUUCCGGUCUCAGCAUCUAGCUGUAUGAUGCACACUGUCAAAAUUGAACAAAUGAAGUUUUUUAGAAAAAGGCUAGAAAAGGCACGUCAGCACAUGACCAGAGAGGGAGAAGAGUGGGAGAAGAGUGGAUCUUGGAUGAUGGCCUUCGGUUUUGCUAAUCCUUGCCUGGAUCGUUUACACAAAUCUUGUCCAAUUUCUGCACACCAUUACUGUUAUCCCUGGUUUAUAGGUUAUACAGAGUACUAUACAUGUGGUAAGACAUAGACGAUAUGACGAUAGUUGAAUGUUGAUCUAGAAGCUUUAUGGACUCCAAUGGUGGACACUGCUCUCAAAACGCAUAAUUAGGAAAUACAUAAGAUAAUGUCAUAAUGUUGUCAUGACUUUCCAAAUUAUGUACACAACCAAAACACAUGAAUUUGCAGAGAUUGAUAUUUGUAUUGCUUCACAUGGAUUUUGAAUUUGAAAAGAGAGAAGAUGCAUUAAUUUCCCUCAAGUCUAACAUCUCGCUACCUAGAUCCAUUGUGUUGCGACUAAUAUGGCAAUAAUAAUCGUGGCAAGCGGUGUAGGACCUCCAUCGCAAUGAUCGCAACUUUCUUCUACGAGGCUCGUCACCAAGAUAAGAGUUGCCUUGUCCUCAAUGUUUGGCUGGCAUGGCAUGUUGUGGUUGUUGCGGUGGUUGAUGCGUUGGUGGUCGUUUAUGAUAGAGUCGAAGCCAUUGGUUUGUGCAAUGGAUGAUGAGCUUCUGUUUGGCCUCAGAGGACGUUCUUAGUGGUGUAUGUGUCCAGUUUUUGGACUCGUAGUUUUGGUGUUAGCCUGGUUUCUCUUUAAUUAACUGAGCAGCUCUCUUAAGCUUAACUAAUACAUCGAGACAAUUUACCUCCAGCUAAAAAAAACAGCUUGAGAACAAUCCACAAGAAUCGUGAUGAUCACGUUUCUCUGUUCCAAAAGGUUUUACAGGGGAAAAUGAUGUGGAUUGGAAUCCUGCAUAAUUUAUAUAAAAAUCAUACAAUCCAAAGGACCUUGAUAUCUAGAAAAAGAUCGUGCAACUUAAAACAGAGACAGGGACACAGGGGGCCACCCACACAACCAAUUUGUUUUUUCAAGGGAAAACUUUUAUUUGUGCUGUGUAGAAUACUCAAGAACAAUGACCAACAACAUUCUGGCACCACCCAUGUCCGCCUUUGCCAUGUUUCUUUUUUUGAACAGGAAAUCAUGAAUUACUUCACCUACAAGGCUACAAAGACGGUUCUCUAUCAGUUGUAUGAAAUGAACCCGCCAGCAUAUACUUGGCUUUAUAAGUAAGGUUAUUUUUCCAUGGCCUCUUUCAGACAAAUUACUAAGUUUAAUUACCUCUUCGAAAGUUAUAGUUUUGUCCUGUCAGUUACCUUGUCGUCAACGAUGCAAAAGAGGGAAUACAUUUUCUUCGAGCACUCACAAAGGUAUCCUCUUUUUCUUGUACAGAAUGUUCAAAAAUGGAGAGGAAAAAAAAUGGUGUGUUUCUGAUCAUUUCUAACUUGUUUCAUGUAUAUACACCAGGAAAGGCAAGACCUGGCAGAGAGGGUCAUGAUCACACGCCUUCACUUAUACGGCAGAUGGAUCAAGGUAAUGCAGAGGCAGAGAGCCAUUCCAUCCAAGUCUUGAGAGAAAUUGGCGCAGAUUACAGAAAUUUUUACUUACACCUAUGAUCGCUGCAUCUGAUCAGAAAUGUGACCAUACAAAAAUGUACGAGAGGAUUUCCAACGAGAACCUGGCACUCAUGCGCGAAAGGCUAAUGGAAACCGUAGUGUGGCCAACUGACGACACGAACAACAGCGGCAAACAAGAUUGAGGGGGACACGAUUGGAACUCUUGUCUGAGUUGAGCAUAAACUGCUUCACUCAACAAUGCACUUCGAUGAAUCCAUGUUGUUUUUUUUCGUUUUGACUGUUACUCGUUUGUGUAUAUAACCCUGCAUGAAUAGAACAGUUGGUGUACAUUCUCUCGUAGGGGUUUGUGAUUUUAGUGUCCCUCGAUCCUUUUCUGUCCACUGGACUCGAGAAAAAUAUCAGAAGCUCAGAACACGUCUGGUCAAUUUGUUUGCCUUGUUUGACAGUGUCUGUUCUUCUGUGCUUGUAUUUGUAAGAUUCAGGUUUUCUGACCCUUAUUUCAUCCUCUUUUUCUGUCUUGCAUGACCAACAAUAUUGAGAUGGAUUAGAUAAACGAAUUUCAUUUACUGAAGUCCGAGCGAUGCAUAGCUAAAGCUUACGUUUCUAAAUUUAAUGAGUAUGCCAAUUGGCAGUGACCCCCUACAACUCAAAAAAUAGUUAGCGAAGACUUCUCAUUACAACUUGAAAAUUGAGCCGACCCCUAAGCACAAGUAAAUUAUAUACAGAUAGUUCAAACCCUCACGGAGUUGUUACCACACAUCUAAUUUAUAUGAAGAAAAAUGUUUUAUGUCCUGAUCAGUAUGGUAAGGAUAGAUGUCAUCAUAUUAAAAAAGAACCUUCCUUUCUGGCGGAAUAUAUCUGAAACCAGUCCAAUAGUCCAUGGAGGCAUGGCACUGUUCCAUCUGUUGAAGAAAAACGUAAUCUUUUCUUGUCGGCAACUAGCACGACUACAUUUGGGCGGAUAUCCUGGAGUGCUUUAUCACGUUUCAUGUCGCUGUUUGUCUUGUACCUAAUCUCGUCCGUCAUUGGCGAUGCAAACCAAGCCUUGUCUUCCUUACUUAAAGCUCAAUUCAUUGUCCAGCGCCGUACCAUUAUUUUACAGCUUCAGAUACCUCCACCGCCACCAAUGUAAGCUCCAAAUCUGAGAUGCUUCUCCUAUGGCUUACAUCUGUCUUCUCAGCAGGCCGGCAGUAUAAAACCCAAAAUAACGGCAAGUGUAUGUGAGGCUAUCAAGGGCUAACCAAGCUGAUAACUUCGUUAUUUGCAACAACAUGCAUAUGUAACAACCUCUCAGGUCUCUGCAAAAGUUGUUUCUGGCUCUCCUUCCUUCCACCCUUCCUCUCCACUCUUUCUCUAGUCAUGAGAUCAAGAGUCACAGGAACUUACUUCUUGGCUCUCCAGUUCUUCCUAUCCUUCAAUUUCAACAUUGCCCGUGUCAGUCCUCUGUCCUUCAAGCUGAACUUCACUGAAUCAAACAACAACGCGUUGGCUGCAAUCCAGUUCCAGGACGAUGCCUUCUACAACAAGGCGAUCAGGCUCACCAAGGACGAGCUGAAUAAUGAUAUCACUUACAGCGUUGGCCGAGCAGUCUACACCGAUCCAGUGCCUCUCUGGGAUAGCGCCACCGGUCAGUUAGCCGACUUCACAACCCGCUUCACAUUCAUGAUAGCUGCCACAGAUAGAAGCAAUUCAACAGGUGAGGGCCUAGCAUUCUUCCUCUCACCGUACCCUUCUGUGAUACCCAAUAGUUCCACAGAUGGUUUUCUGGGCCUCUUCAGCAAUAGCAAUGGUCAGAAUGACCCAUCCAAUGAGCUUGUGGCUGUUGAGUUUGACAGCCACAAGAACACAUGGGAUCCAGAUGACAACCAUGUGGGAAUCGACAUCCAUUCAAUUGUAUCUGUAGCCAACCGGACAUGGAUCAGUAGCAUCAAUGAUGGUCGGAUAGCCAAUGCAUGGGUAACUUACCAGGCCAGCUCCAUGAACUUGAGCGUCUUCUUGACAUAUCUGGACAACCCACAACACAGUGGCAACUCCAGCCUAUCUUAUUCAGUUGAUCUCAGAAAAUAUCUCCCAGACAAAGUGGCCAUUGGCUUCUCGGCUGCCACUGGUAGAUCUGUUGAGUUACAUCAGAUACUUUACUGGGAAUUCGAUUCUACGGAUUUGCAGCUGAUGAAGACAGAGAAGACGAGAAGUAUACUGGCCAUAAGUUUGGGUACUAGCAUAAGUGUGGUGGUCUGUUCUAUGGGCUUGGUUUGGUACCUUCUGCAUUUUAGGUCUAGGAGGUCAAAAAAGGAGAGAGAAAAGAAGCUAGAUUAUAAUGUGUCAAUUGACUGUGAGUUUGAGAAAGGAAGGGGGCCGAGAAGAUUCCGGUACAAUGAACUAGUGGGUGCCACGAAGAACUUUGUUUUGGAGAGAAAACUUGGAGAAGGAGGAUUCGGUGCAGUCUACCAGGGCUUCUUGAAGGAUCAAAACCUUGACGUUGCCAUAAAGCGAGUUGCAAAAGGGUCAACACAGGGGAGGAAGGAGUACAUAUCUGAGGUCAAGAUCAUCAGCCAGCUGAGGCAUCGGAACCUUGUGCAGCUUGAGGGCUGGUGUCAUGAGCGCGGAGAGUUCUUGCUUGUGUACGAGUUCAUGCCAAACAGGAGCCUGGACACACACCUCUAUGACAACAGUAACCUGCUAACAUGGCCAUUGAGGUUCAAGGUCACCAUUGGUGUUGCAUCUGCCCUCCUGUACCUCCACGAGGAAUGGGAGCAAUGUGUCGUCCACCGGGAUGUCAAGCCAAGUAAUGUGAUGCUUGAUUCUGCAUUCAACGCUAAGCUUGGUGACUUUGGGCUCGCGCGACUUGUCGACCAUGACCGAGCCUCACAAACUACAGUGUUAGCUGGAACAAUGGGUUACAUGGCUCCAGAGUGUGUCACCACUGGCAAAGCAAGUAAAGAAUCCGAUGUCUACAGCUUCGGCAUUCUUGCAUUGGAGAUUGCAUGUGGAAGGAGGCCGGUUGUGCUAAAGGAAGAGGACAACAAGAUCAGAUUGGUUCAGUGGGUGUGGGAUCUGUAUGGAAGAAACGAGAUUCUUAAUGCAGUUGAUGGCAGGCUUGAUGGUGCAUUUGAAGAGAGAGAAGUUCUCUGCUUGAUGGUUGUUGGACUGUGGUGUGCACAUCCGGAUUACAAUCUCCGACCUUCGAUUCGCCAGGUCAUAAGUGUACUAAAGUUUGAAGCACCAUUGCCAAGCCUUCCAGCGAAGAUGCCUGUAGCAAUGUACUUUGCGCCACCAAUUUCUCUAUGCAGGUUUUCAUACACCUCAUCUGAUGGGACCCUGAAGGAGCAGGAGCUGGAAAGGUCCAACGGUUAUGGAAAGACAAACUCAUCCAGUGCAACCAAUGCUUCGAGUUCACCUCCCUCUGUUCGGUUGCCAGAGGCGGGUUACUAGGUCUGCCGGUUCCUUACUGCAUGCUCAACAUGUGUACUUUUGUUUGGUGCCAACGUAUUAGAGAGGCACUAAAGUUAAACUAGAAAUAUGUUGCUAUUGAUUCUAGCUGGAUGUUGAGAACAGUAUUGAUUCAAUUAUUUGUGUAUAGAUUGGAUACCUGCAGAACAUAAGCAAUGGAAUGUUUAUGCGUAUCCUAGGUGAAUUUAUGAUGUUCACCUAAAGUGGUGUUGACGGUUGUCUUGUUCUUUUAUAUGUGGAAAAGACAAGUUUGCUUUUGUAUAGGAAUCAAAUCAAUAUCAAUUCAGGCACUACAUUACCAAAGGCCUAUUCUCACAACAUAUGUACAAUAAGUACAACGAACAUAAACUACCCGAACCUAUUUUUCCUGCUUAUCUUUGGUCACUACAAGAUCUAGAUGUGCCCAAACCAAAUUGGCCUUAAACCUAGCUAUCCAAGUGAAGUGUCUAAUAAAAUAUACCAUGAUGCACAUAUAUUUAUACUCCUAUAUCAACAGGAGUAAGGAGGUAUGUGCAUAUAUUUGUACUCCCAUAAGGCCGUACCAAAAAAGGAACUGAGUUCUAAAUAGUAAACCAUUAAAAUGGCCAUAGAAGGUACAUAAUUCUGGUUCUUUGAAUCUAAGCACCAAACAACUGAACAAAAGAUGAAGAGAAAGAUCAAUCAAGGCGGAGCAAAAUAAGGUCUUGAAUGUCCUUCAUCAAUAAUGUGCAGAGAACACGUAUCAUUGUGAAUUUAUUCGAGGUCCAUCGUCUUAUAUGUGGUUCCGAAAAAACACUAGCAUUGAGCACCGAGAAAUUUGUCAUGCCAAAGCCCCAGACUACAAAUUUUAUAACAACACCUUGCUUGCGAAGCAUAUGUGUGAAAUUUUCAACUACCAUAUUGUCCAUGCAAUGUAUUAUUAUAGAUAAGCUUUUCAUGAAAUUCUAAACUAGUACUCCCUCCAUACCAUAGUAAGUGACUCAAAUUUGCUCAAAUAUGGAUGUAUAUAUGCCUAAAAAACAUCUAGAUACAUGUAAUAGAAAGUCACUUAAUAUGGGACGGAGGGAGUAGAACCUAACACUUCGAUCAUGCUUCACGAAGUCAACCAUAAACUGGAACAUCAGAACAUCACACCAAUCUAAAGUUGUGUACAACUAAUUUUCGUCCUCAAUUGCACAAUAUCACACUGUUGUGAACUCGAAAGUAACAUUUCCUCUUAAAUUUGACAUCAGUUGCACAAUGUUACAUUGUUCACAAGAAACAUUUCGUGAUUGGCUAAUUUCAGCAGUAGAAUCUAGUCUAGUACUUAACAAACAAUGACACAGCACGGUCAUAAGCAAGCAGACGGCCAUUACCUUUGGGCAGCUUAUUGUUCACCUCCUGCCAUGCUGCUUCUUCGCAGUGAACCGGUAAACCACCGGACCAUGGCGCCAGCCUUCGAGGGGUGGGUCCUCAUGCAACACCUCAAUGUUGAACAGCUUCCUCGCCUUCCCGAAGAACUUCUUAUCCGUGCGCUUCCACCUCCUCAGAUGCGCCAUCAAGAACACCACCUCCCCCUUCACGAAGAACCGCAGCGUCUCUAUCAAGGGGUCAACCAACGUCUCGUAGUAGACCACGUCCGAGGCCACGACGAGGUCAAACCGAGACGCCGGCGCUGGGGCUACCACGGCCUCCAUCGAAGCCGCAUCGCCCCAGGGGAGCGGGACGACGGAGACAGCGCCGCCGCGGGAGUCGAGGAGGGGCGCGUUGAGGGAGGCGUUGUGGUGGAGAUUGGGGAGCGCGGCGGGGAGGUCGGAGAGGACGGCGUGCGCUGGGAGGGCGGCGGCCAGGGCGAGGCCCGCGGCGCCGGUCCCGGAGCCGAGCUCUAGGAUGGCGAGCGGGCAGUGCGGGGCGGGGCAGCGCGGGAGGAGGUGCAGGGAGGCGGAGAGGAAACGGAGGAGCGUGGUGGCGGAGGGCCAGAGCUGGAAGGUGAGCCCGAGGGAAGGGAUGGUGCGGACGGUGAUGGGGGACGGGAGCGCGGGGAGGUGGAACUGGUGGAGCUCCGCCUCGGAUGAGGCGGCGGCGGCGGCCGUGGAAGUGGGGAGCAUGUUUGGGAGGAGGAGUUGGAGAUCGUCGGGCUCGGAAUCGGAGGAGAUGGCGGAUGUGGUGGACCGGAAUGCAUCGUCCGAGUCGGGAACAGGGGAGACGGUGAAGGGUAGAAACGUGGUGGCUGCGGCGGCGGCCACAACGGUGGCGGCGGUAGCGGUGGCGGCGGCGGCAACAGCGGUGGUGGUGGCGGCGGCGGCGGCCAUAACGGACGAGCGAUGUGAUUGGUGUUCUUUGAGGUUUUGACUAGUAGUACCAGGGUUAGACGGGUCUGGCCAAUUUGGGCCUAGCACGGCAUUUUGCAAGUUGCAACUUGCAAGUAGACAAGUGGUGAUUUCUUAACGGAUUUUGCUAUAACUUUGUCAGUGGCAAGCGGAUUUUUCCCUAGGGCAUAUUUAUUUCUUCUUCCUUUUUCUUGUCAUUGAUUCUCGUGGUGGAGUUGUUGGCAAAAUGUUUUUGUUUGCAGCAUUGUUGGCAAAAUGUUGACCCGACUCAUAAUUCUUGUCUCACAUUUGUUCAAAAAUAGAUGUAUAUGUUCUUAAAAAACAUUUAGAUACAUGUAAUAUUUCGACAAGAAUUAUGGGACGGAGGGAGUACUGUAAUGUGCAAAUCUUGGUUAUAAUGUAUUUUUGUGACUUGUAGCAUGGAACACAAAGUAAUACCUUAAAUUUAUCACUUGAAAUUCGACAGGAUCACAAAAUUUUUGCUGUAGAGCAACUUCUUAACUAUCUCGAACGACAUUAUAAAACUCGACGAAACAACCAUGAGGAGCGAAAGUUUCAUCACGGUGUUUUGACGAAAAAUAUUGCAUAAUUGCAGAGAUAUACGGUACACUUUGGUGAAGAAUUGCAAGGAUACAGCGUGCAUGACAAUUGAAAUACAUGCCAAAUGCGUGACAACUAUGGGGUUAAGAAGCCAGGAGCAUAUUGUGUGCAUGACCACUGACAUUCAUUUCAAAUCAUGACGUGCCAAAAAAAAUAUUGUUCUCCGACCCAUUUGAUUGUUUCCCGCAAAAUCCUGUAUCCAGGCAAAUGUCUAUUUUUGCUCGGGUAGUUCUGAUUUAAUUUUAAAAACAUUACUAGUUGCAAGAAAGGAGUAAAAAUUGCUCAGAUCAUUCCUGGCCGAUCGAUCCGAGCUCAAUAUGUCGUCUCGAAGAAGAGAUCCUGCUACAGUGCUACUUCGUCUCUAAACCAACGGUUGUAUAACAUCACAGAAAACCAUCGACCAAAUAGCACAGCAGCAAGCUUAUACUCUGAGGCGGAAUGCGAAUUUGUUUACUGAAGCACAAAGGGCAUUUCAAAUUCAGCAUCCCUCGAGUCCCCAACCAUUCGCGGCAUCUAAGGUUUGGGCUCAGCUGCCUCGGAGUCGGAGGGAGCGUGAGCAGCACCGUUCCGUGGCGCGUCGUCAUCAACACCCGUGGCACCGCCUCCGCUGCCGCGGCGAAGCGCCCAGGUCCGCGCGAGCAGGAACCCGAGGGCGUGGCCCGCGACGGCGGCGAGGAGGACGCCGACGUUGAAGGACAUCACGGCCAGCAUCACCAUGUACGCGAGCGCCAUCUUGGCCGCGUGGACCACGACCGCGGAGAUCAAAAACGUUGUCGCGCCAGUAGCGCCAGGCCGGCGCCGGGCGAGCCCCUUGGACGCCGCGGAGAGCGCCUCCACGAGGGCCGCAAGCGCGAGCACGACGAAGAGGCAGAGCACGUACAUGCCGCUGCCGGCGCGAGGGCCGGCCCCGGGCCAGCCGUUGAAGAGCACCUGCGCGCGGUGGCCCCAGAAGAAGGUCGCGUGCAUCGCCAUGCCCAUGUCCAUGUCCAUCCCUGGCAUGCCAGCCGCGGGCGGCUCCAUCGGCCACAUCGGAGGAGGAGGCGGCAUCGGCAUCGGCAUGGCCAUUUUGUUUUUCUGGUGAGUUGAGCAGAAACGCCGAAGCAAAGUGGUAUGACGAGGUAGAGAUUUCCGAAGUUAACUAUACUAAGCUAGUUCAGUGGACCGUGCAGUAGUUAUGACGAAUUCGUGCGGUGUGUCGUGGAAAGAGAAGAGCAGACCUAUGGAACGACGAUGGAAAGAAGGAAUAAAGGUGUAACCAGCAAGGAGAGAUACGCACAAGAACAAGAAAAAGACGAUAGCGAAAGGGGAAUUGUAUGAGCUUUGGAAUAGCAGUUGGAUGUCCUGCCGUGCCACAUUCUAGCUGUCUCCAACAGCAUGCGUUGAUCCCUCUCUUGUUGGCACCAAGUGUCCCAACCUUCAUGGACAUGCGAGGACUAUCAAAACUUGUGGUUCUUGUUUUCAUGGACGAAUUAUUUAAGAGUGAAUUCCAUUUUUUAUCACAAGUUUCACUUUUUUGACAGCUUUAAUCCCAUUUAGUGAGAUUUCUCUUUUUUGACCGCAUUUAGCAAAAGUUUUACCACUAAUGACCCCAUUUAAUGUUUUGGUCUGAAUCUCCUCCGUUGUGACAAUGUGAAGCGGAGGCCAUGAACUACUGAGGAGGAUCAUAUAUGAACCGUAUAAUGCUCGCUCGUCUCAAGUAAUUGGGCUAGUCCACCACAUUUUUCAAGUACGUGAACUAAACUGAUCGCACGUCUCAAGUCGCUGGACUGUUGAUGUUAUUAUCUCUUACACAAAGUCGAAUCGUUCAGCUGCAGGGAUCAGUGGGGAAGUUAAUUAGGCCAUGUUUGCUCCGUUUUGCUACAUGGGCUUGGGCUUAUGUGGUCAAUUUCCAGCAUAUGUAUACUUAGUGUUUUCUACUGUAACUUGCCAAAAUCCUGUGUAGUCAAACGAGGCUUCGCCAGUUUCAUUGGAUAAGGAAUCACAGGUCAGGCCGUGUUUCCAUGAAGUACAACAGGCAUUUCAAAUUCAGUAUCCCCAACCAUUUUCAGUGUCUUAAGGUAUGGGCUCAGACUCGUUGGUAGCGUGAGCAACAACGUUCUGUGGCGCUGCCGCGUCAUCAUCACGAGUGCCGCCAGCGCCGGCGCGGCGGAGCACUGCGGUCCGCGCGAGCAGGAACCCGAGGGCGUGCCCGGCGACCGCGGCGAGGAGGACGCCGACGUUGAAGGACAUUGCGGCCAGCAUCACCAUGUACGCGAGCGCCAUCUUGGCCGCGUGGACGACGACCCCCGAGACCAUCGCGCCACCGCCAGGCCGGCGGCGGGCGAGCCCCUUGGAUGCCGCAGAGAAGGCCUCCACGAGCGCGGCGAGCGCGAGCACGACGAGAAGGCAGAGCACGUACAUGCCGCUGCCGGCGCGAGGGCCUUCCCCGGGCCAGCCCGUGAAGAGCACCUGCGCGCGGUGGGCCCAGAAGAAGGUCGCGUGCAUCGCCGGCAUCGCCAUGCCCAUGCCCAUGCCCAUGUCCGUCCCUGGCAUGUGAGUUAUGUCGCCCGCGUGCGACGGCGGCGGCGGCGGCAUCGGCAUGGACAUCUUGUUUUUCUGGUGAGUUGAGCAGAAACGCCGAAGCAAAAGAGGUGUAACGAGGUAGAGACGACUUCCUAAGUUAAUUAAGUAGUACUACUAAGCUAGUUAGUGGACGUGCAGUGUGUCGUGGAAAGAGAGAGAAGAUCGAUGGAACGAUGGAAAGAAGCAGAAAGGUGUAAACAACCACGAAAGAUAAGAACAGGAACAAGGAAAAGGAAAAGAGAGUAAAUUACGUUGCGGGUCCAUGAACUUGGCAGCGAUAUUCAGUUUCAUCCAUUAACUUGAAAACUUCUCAAAUGACUUACUAAACUUGACGGCUUUGCUCAUUUUACUCCAAAUGACCAGAUUCGGGCGAAAUUCGGUCAUGAUGGCAUGUGACGUGGAUCCGGCCGUUCGAGUAGCGGCCGCCGAACCUAUCAAUGGAGCCAUUCGCGUGGACGCCACGUACGCCGGCCCGAAGUGGGUUCACCGGCGAGAGCAACAUCUCCCCAUUCUGGAGAUUCGAGGAGGUUAAACAGAAAAGGUCCAUAAUCAGAAAAUUGUGAAAAGCCCCCUCACACGCCGGCCAGGUCCACGACACAUGCCAGCAUGGCCGAAUUUCACCUGAUUUCGGCCAUUUGGACUAAAAUGAACAAACCUGUCAAGUUUACUGAGUUAUUUGAACAGUUUUCAAGUUAAUGGAUGAAACUGAACAUCGCUACCAAGUUUAUGAACCUGUAGUGUAAUUUUCUCAGGAAAAGACGAUAGGGAAAGGGGAAGCAUAUGUGAGAGCUUUGGAAUAACAGACGGACGAGGACAAAUGCACAAUGUCCUGCCGCGCCACAUUCUAGCUGUCUCCAACAGCAAGCGUUGCUCCCAACCUUCAUGGACCUGCGAGGACUAUCAAACUUCUUGUUCUUGUUGGGACGGGUAUUAUCUAAACUUGAUUACAUGCAGUAGAGUAUAUAUACUAAAUCUUCCGCCAAAAGGAAGAAUUAUGAUGGUAGCUUUGGAACACCGGAUUCUCGAAACGCUGAAAUAUGAAAAGGUACGAUUAGAACGACAAAGUUUUUAAAAUUCUAAUAUGAAAUCAAAACAUGGACAUAGAAGAAAACUUUCACAAUGUCUACCCUCUUGCUAUAAAUCCCGAUACAAUUGCUAGAACAAAUCGAAUGGAUCAAAAUCCUCCAAAAAAAUCAUGAGUGGCACAAACAAAGAUAUCCUUAAGAUGUUGUGAAAAUCCCUUUUAGCUUUUUUUUCUUGGAAAUCUAUAAGAGAUGCUACUUGCCUCUAUUCUUUUACAAAAAAAUUUAUAUUUAUCAUUUGAUUCAUUUGAGUGGAACAAAAAAUUAUAGGAACUUCUCUGCGUGCAGGCAUUAAAAUUGCAUCAAGAAAACAUUCAUGUUUUCUUAAAGAGUAAAUUACACAAAACCACCACAUUACGGGUUAGGGUUUCACAUUGAUACCGGUUUACGUUUUGAUUAUUAAAAACCACCGGAUUUACUUAAUCACUCGCUCGUUAGUGUCUAAACCCAUUUCUGACAAAGCAGGUCCACCGGUUAGUCCUAUGCGGCGUGCCAGCAUGGCAAAUGCCUUUCUUUCUGCUAUCUCCCAAAUCUCUCCCUCAUCCGCUGCUUCCUCUCCUUCUUCCCCCGAGAAGCUCCUCGCCACCAAACCGAUGCUCCGACCGCCCCCCCACGCGCUGCUGCUCGCCCCCGCGCGCUCUGCGCACCGCCGCUCUCUUCGCCACUCGCCCCCGCGCGCCCUGUGCACCGCCGCGCUCCCCAGCGUACCGCUGCUCCGGCCGCCGCUCCCUCAGCGCCGCUGCUCCAAGCCGCCCCACGCGCAUUGCCGCUCGCCCCCGCGCUCCCCCGCUCUCUCCCGUGCACCGCCGCGCGCUUCCGCUCCCCGUAGGCACGACGAAGCCGAUGGAGGCGCUCCGGGGCGCGCCUUGACGGGCGGAGAUGCACCAGCGUGCAAGCAGGCACGGCGAGGCCGAUCGAGGCGACUGCUAGGCAAGGGGGUGGCCGGAGGCGGCCCGCGACGAGGAGAUGAGGCAGCGGAGGAGGAGCACCGUGGCUGGGGCGCUUGGGAUGGCCGGGGGCGAGAGCAAGGGCACCGGCGGACGCGCGGGGUUGCUCAAGAUGCAGGGGGUGGGUGAGCAGAUCCAAGGUCAGCGGCGCUUUGCCGGAGACGAGGAAGACACGGGCGGUUCGGGGCACGAGGGGAACAUAGGGAGGAAGGAGAGAUGGAGUGUGGUUCAGUUGAGGAUUGCCACGGUGGCAAGCCACGCUGGCCUGACCGGUGGGCCCUUCCUGUCAGUUUCGCGCUUAUUCGUUAGCAACCGCACGACUAGUCUAAUCCAGUGGUUUUUAGUAAAUAAAACGUAGACUGGUAUCGAAGUGAAACCCUAUCCCCUAAUGUGGUGGUUUUCUGUAAUUUACUCUCUUUUUUAAACCAGGAAAUCUAUUUUCCAGACGGCUGGCAAAUUCCCUUAUGCGUGGACGCGUUCCGCGACGUCCGAUCUGCAGCGAACAGACGUCUUCUUCUCCGUUCCUUUUAUUCUUUCUGAUACAUACGAACGCUCGGAGGGUGCUCGUAACUGUUUCUUCCUCUCUCUCCUCUCCAGUCCCUACCUUGCACUCUGCGAUGAUGGGCUGGAUGCGGCAGUGGCUCCUCAUGUGGCGCUCGCCCUCGCUCAGCCACUGCACUAGUCGCGGUUAGGACGGGAAGAAGAGGUCGAAGAGGCAGAAGCCGCCCACCGGCAUGAGGGCCUCGUCCAACUCGCGGAGGUACUCCUCUUGCCGCGCGAACUUGCCCCAGAACUAGCUAGCUGCUGUUGUGCUUGCCGUGUGUUGCCGCUGCUGCUGUGCGCCUGUGUUGCUCGCUAGCUGUUGCUUGCUUGUUGUGUGCUGACGGCUGCUGCUGCUAGGACAAAUGCUCUAUGGUGAGCCUAAAUUCGUUUUGGCGGAGUGCUACUAGAGGAAGCUGAAGAGGGAUUCAAAAGAUGUUCUAAGCACUUGAGGUGUUUGAUGAAAUGGUGGCUCAGAUUUAUUCUUUUAGUUGCACUGAGUGGUUAAUCCAUUGCAUCUCCUCUUCAUUGUCUUACUCAUCAACCAUGCACAUCUAGUGCGUAUUGUUGAAUUCAAUGAGGUGUGUGUUGUUUCAUGCAUUGACUACUCUAUUUUGAGAAUGAAUAGUUAUAGUUACCGCCAUGACACUGAUGUAGUUACCUUGCAGUUUAGGUUAUAGUUAUUACCAUGUCACUGAUGUAGUUAUCAAGGUGCCCAAGUCAUAGUGACCACCACUAUGGCAUUAAUGGAAUUACACACCUGUUCGGGCUAUAGUUACCAACUGUCAUCCUAGUACCGUAGUAGUACCGAGACAUUUACUCAACUUCCAUGUUAAAGUUAUCACCAUGGGACCAGUUUAUUUGCCGGCCCAUCCCUAUUAAAGUUACUCGAUGGGUUGUCAAUAUUUGAGUUCACCAUGGCACCGAUGUAGCCACCAGGCUGUUAAUGUUAAAAUUGGAGUAAAUAUCACAGAACCCAUGGUUUCGGACGAACCGUAUCAUAGAACUCCACCUUUUGGUUUUCUUAUCACUUAAACCCGAUAAUGGGGCAAAAGGUGGAGUAAACCAAUUAUCACUUAAACCGAUAAUUGGGCUCCAGCGAUACACUUUUGCCCAAUUAUCGAGUUUAAGUGAUAAGAAAACCAAAAGGUGGAGUUCUGUGAUACGGUUCGUCCGAAACCAUGGGUUCUGUGAUAUUUACUCUUAAAAUCAUCAUCAUGGCACCAACGUAGUUAUCCUGUUGUUCAUGUUAAAGUUAUCACCAUGGUACCGUUGUAGUUAUCCAGCCAGUCAUGUUAAAGAGUUAUCAUCAUGGCACCGAUGUAAUUAUCUAGGUGGUCAUGUUAAAGUUAUCAUGGCACCAACGUAGUUAUCCGGAUGUUCAUGUUAAAGUUAUCAUCGUGUCACCGAUGUAGUUUUCCAGGUGUUCAUGUUAUAAUUAUCAUCAUGACGCCAAUGUAGUUACCUAGAUCUUCGUAUUAAAGUUAUCAUCAUGGCACCGACCUAUUUACCCGGUUGUGUAAGUCACUGUUCACCGUCACAAUAUGGAUAUAGUUACCCUGCUGUCCGAGAUAAGAUCUAGUUUGGAAGACGAUGUAGUUCCCCGACAUAGUAUUGUUGAAGUUUAUAUUACUUGUGAAUACUCUAACCAGGUAACUCACAUCUUACCGCUUGGUAACCUUUUUAAUCUCAUAAAAGGAGUUCCCGGUAUAUAUCUAAGUGAGUGGUAGGUUUGUAGUUGGUAACUAUUUUUUGAAUAAUACGGUGACUCAUAUAUGAGUGGUCUGAUAACCUACAAGCUUAGGUAAACGUCAUCGAAACAUAACCAACUGAGGUCUAUUAAAGUCUAGUUUUCAAUUGAUAACUACUUGUGGAUGUAUGAUAACGCGUACUGUUACUAGCCGGUGACUUCUAAAUUUGAAAAAGAUCACGAACACUUCCAAAGUGAGAUUAGUGUCCGAGCCGAUAACUCUACUGUGAAUAGUCAGGUAACUUACAUAGCAUUGGUUGAGUAACUACUUUUAAACUCAGAAAAAGUAACCAAAACAUGUCUAGCUAGAAGCAGCUUCAAAACAAUUGAGAAUGGCCUGAUAAUUCACAUAGUAUAUCUAGCAUUGAACCAAUCGUGAACAGGCUGAUAACUCAGUUAUUGCUAGUUGGUAACUUUGGUGCUCUAAAAACAACAUUAAAACACACCAAUGUAGCUAGAUUGAAAGCUGUUACUAAUCAUGAAUAGGUCUGGUAACUCACAUGGCUAUGGUUGGUAACUUUGAGCUUAACCAAAAAUUCGCCGAAAUACAUCCAACCCGCAUCUUGUUUUGAAGCCCUAGUUGAGACGAAAUCAUCUGUGAAAACGGAUUAUUGAUCAGGUACACGAUUUGAGCUACAUGACUUUUUAAAUUUUCUAGAACAUUUUAAAUACACACGCCCCACUCUCAGUUCUAUUUGCAUGCACGUGGUGGAAAAAAAAGUAGGAUGUGCGGCUCGGGCUCGUAGAACGGACCGAAGGGAGGGUAGCGGGAAAUAGACCAUGGUUACAAUAACUGGCAUACGGCUGGCACAUGGUCGGUGGUCCUUUUUAAAUUGAGAAAAAAAUAUUGUGUGUUUUUACGCAACCAAACAACUGCAAACAAAAAACUGUGUUCUUAAAAUUGAGAGCUCGUUCCGCAGCCCAUCACGCACGGCGCCCGGUACAUUCUAGUUUCUAGGUCCAGCGUUUCCUCCAGUAGGAUCGCGCGGCCCAUAGAGUCGGUCCAUCCGUACGGCCUUUCCGUGGCCCAGCGGAAGUGGGACAGCGGCCUCAAAGAGAUCAAAAAAAAGUUGUAUUUUGUCCUUUUUAUUAUGCACGUACGCUGCUUGCUUGCCUGAUGAGUGAUGACGCGAAUGGAACAACUUCUCUGAACAAAUAUCAAUUUUAGAACACAAAUACAAUUAUGCAAAUACCGAAAAAAGUAAACGACUAAUUGAUUCAUUGUGGACUGACGGACUCGAUCGGCUUCAGGUUUCCAAAACCAUCUUAUGAUCCCUGUCUAAUCGGCCCGGGGCCCCGGGCGGAUCCAUCCCAUCCAGAUGGCCGGUUAGCUAUUCUUAAAAAAGAAAAGAAAAAGAAAGAUGGCCGGUUAGCUUCGCUGAUUUCCCUUUGAAAAUGUCUAUCCAACUUUCAGUAAACACCUUCGACCUGAAUGCCCCCAUGUACGUACGUGGCACCCCAAAAGCGCGACAGCUCCAGAGCUCCUUCCUUGGAUUAAACCCCAAAACUAACCGGACUUUCGCCUACGUCACGGGUCGAUCGACUGAAUCAUCUUGUCCCGGCACACGAACUCUCAAGUAACAUCAACCAGUAGAGACAAGGAACCGAGGAUAUUGCAAAGAUACUCGCUCGAUCUCUGCCAGUUAACCUACUGUGAGAUAACCGUGAACGCGUCGUCCUCUGCCCCCACCGAUUCCAUUUCUAAACGGCCCGACUUAGACGUCCGAACGUCGUUGUAGUCGUGUUUUUUCACAGCCCACAGGGACUACUGACGUAACAUAGGUUACCAUCCGUCCAUCAGUCUUAUCCCCCCAAACGCGCGUUGUUGCGAGCGUCGUCUCUCUACGUCCGGGACGACCGACGACGGGCACGGCAUAACUAACAGAUGCACCGGCCCGGGAGCAAACAAACAAACCACCGGUUGGGGACCGACCGACCAAGGGAGAGAUCGAGUUCACGUCAAAGUUACACAGUAACGUACAACUCUGCUAAAAAAAGGCCAAAUUAAAGCCAUGUCCCGUCUGGCCUGGAUGGUUCCAAGGAGGUGCAUGAACCCGGAGAAUGAAAUUGAAGCUUCGUGCCGAGCGCGCGUUAAGCGCCGUUGCGUUCUGAGCUUAUACUAUGCCGUACGUCCGGGGGCGGGGCAUGCAGUGCGCGCGGCCGAUGGGCAGCCGCUUUCGCGGUUGCUUUCUUCCCUGCCCCGGCCGGCCGUUUCUGCAUGCGCUCGAUCGCUUUCGAUUCUUCCGGCGAUCCGUUCUUCGCUUCUCUUUAUGCUCCCGAUGCGGCUCGAUCGUGUCGGGUACAUACACAUGUGUGUGUUUGUUUAUGAGGGCGUUGAGGUACAUGCAUAUGUAGGGAGGGGCCCUAGCGAGAUAAUCAUCAUAUCGUGUAGUAGGGAAAGUUGGUCCUUGCAUUGUACAAUGAUGGUUCUAUCGGCCCCGACGGAUGGCGGAUCUUUAGUUUGGGUACGUACGUUGGUGCUUUUGAAUUGGUCGUUGGGCAUUGUUUCGUCUGCUCGGUCCCUCCCCGUGUUUGCAGUUGUACGUAGAGACUAGCAGGAUGGUGGAUGGAGAUUGAUCGAAGGCGUUUGCCGACAGCCUUGGGCUCCCCGGUCUCUUACACGACGUGGGCCGGGAUGUUCGUUUCUAUACACAUAUUAAUGCCAUCGACGGAUUAAUGGUACGAAGUGUGUAUGUCUACUUGGCUGCUGCUAGUAUUAGUUAACACCGGCCGAAGAAUUGUUAUAUGGUGUGCACUGUGACAUUGUAAAGGGAUCGAUUCGUCAUAAGUUGCACAAUGGUUUGCAUACUACUACUCGGUGGUGUUUUAUUUUAUCAGGGUAAAGAUUCCGCACAUGUCCAAUAGACCAAUAGGGCACUUGGAAAUGACGAGAGGGCUCACAUCACGGCGCGUACAAGCUAGUGUCGGCGUCGCUAUCAGCAUCCAAAUACUCACUCCACUUAUAGCUAACGCACCGCUAGAUAACACGUACGUGUCAGUAUUCUUGCGCCCCACUGACGCACAAACGCUAGAUAACACAGAGUAAUUUAACCAGUAGACGUCGGGGUCCAUCGGUCGCGAAAAAGCUCAUGCGACCCAACCACAACCAGAAGCCAGAGCGACCCAUGCAUGGACUGAUGGACUCAACCCAGUCCGCCCCGGCUGGCCAUAUGUACGUUCGGUGAAUGCUCAAUUUUAGACGAUGCUACAUGAUUACCAUCGCACAGUUCAUAUAUAUUGUACGUGAGGACACACCACACAGCAAGAACACAUGGGAUUACGGAUUUAUGCACCUAAAUUAUCGGUGGCUCCACGGUACAGUCCACUGACCACCCUCCUAUCAAAUUAAAAUUUGAAAAGGUAAGGCGAACAAAAGAAUGUCAUAAAACGCAAACAAAUCCAAGGAGGAUCAGUGUUCAUUAAUCGAUCACAACCGUACGGGGCAGCCAACCGCACCACGGCAGGUGGCAGGUAGCGAAAGUGAUCGGCGCAUCAAAUUAAACCCUACUCUUUUUUCCUAUCGCCGUUCCUGUGUCUUGCCCUAACAAGAACAUUAAACAAAAAAGAAAGAAUUACUUAUUAAGCAACGCUUUACCAGAAAGGAAUAUCAUCAAGGAUGAUCGGCGAAGAUUUUCUCAUGCGGUUGGUACGUGGAGACUUGGGAGCAGUCAUGAGAUUGUGCAGCAGCUAGCAAGUGUGGCCCGCCGUCACGUCGCGCCUUAAAAAUGGCAAACGAAUACGACCGGCGCGGGCUAGCGGCACAGGCAGCGACGCUGCGUGCGUGCGCGCCUCAGCCAGCUACGGCACCGGCAACAUGCAGUUUAUUUUCUGCACCGGGCUGCGGGGCGCCGUCGGAUCCCGCGGGUCAGGGCCGCUGUCGGUAAACGGGCGAGAAGCAGCCCACGUGUUUGGGCCCGGCCCGGCCGACAACCGCGUCUGACCAGUGUGUGUGCCUCCUGCCAAUGCAUGGCUCCCCAUGACGUGGUGGGGCUCCUGGCUUUUUUGGCGGCACUGGAGGACUGGGCCAUGGGGUAUCAAGUUAAGGUUGACCUUUACCUCACCCUUCGCCUGGAUCCUCUGCGCACCUGCCUUUGGUUUCACACACUGCUGACCCAGCUAGUACAAGUCUACAACCCGAAAAACGGGCAAAGAUUCCAAUGCUCGGAGAGUAUUGUCUCGACCUGGCUGUUUACUGAAGAUCCUGCGAUAUUUUCGCUUUGUUUGUUUCCUCUGACGAAUCCAACGCUGGGGCCUGUGCAGUUCAAUCCGGCCGGGCAGUGAAGUGAGGUUGGAUUUCACAUGUGGCGUUCUACGGGGGAUCUCCUUUGCCCCGUCCUCUCGUGAUCCUUCUCAAUCUCCUCUCGUGACGUUGAGAGGAGACGUUCCUUCCUUGCCGGUGAAGGUUCCUGAUUCUUCUGUAAAAUACUAGGACUGGGUCAGGUUUUAGUUGUACUACGUGCUGUGCUUCGACCACGUCAAAGAUAAAGCGGUUCCCAAACAUUCCCAACAGGCUGUAGACAUAGUGAGGUGAAAUCGCUUGCUUGUUUGACUGGUACGUGCAUAUAUAUCAUGGCGGGGUCGUUUAAUUGCCGUGCGUGCUCGAAGCAUGCACCAUGUUGUGUUGCGUACCAGAGAGUCUGGCCCAGGAGAUGAUGAUUUCCCGCGUCCAACGCACGAUUCUACAGCCACAAGAUGCUGCGUGCAAGCUGUAUUUACUUAUUUUGAAAAAGGACUUACACCUUUAGUAAGAAAAUGCUAAAUUAGCUUUACUUUUGCAAAAAUAAAUUGGAGAUUUUUUGGUAAAGUACACCAUCAGAUGUGGUCAGAUAUACUCGCGCCGUCCCAUAUUAAGUGACUCAAAUUUGUCUAAAUAUGGACAUAUCUAUAUAUAUAUAUAUACUAAAAUACGUUUAGAUACAUGUAAUAGCAUUUAAUAUGGAUUUCCUAGGGAUCAGUCGCCUGAGAAACUUGUUUUCUCAGUCGACAGCGGAAAACAAAACAGUUAAGUAGGCAGAUAACCGAAACAAAAUCAGCAAAAGGCAAUUGGUCUGUUGGUGUAUCGAUGUUUGCUUUGUUGCAGACGUCCCAGGUUUGACUCAAGUCCUUCCCGGUUUCCUUUUAUUUUUUAUUUUUGGUUUCUAAUUUAUAAAUCGUUUCAUUUUUCUUUUACUUUUUUAUUCUCUUACCUUUUAUGUUUUUAACUUUAUAUAUGUGCACUAACAUAAAUUAGCAGUAUACGAUAAUUUGUACAUUUUUUUAUCUCAAUUUUCUUUUGGACGAGUUGCGUAUUCCGAAAAUUUCACUCGCAAUUUUAAAUAUUUCACCUGAAAUUUUAGAAUCGUGCAUAACUUUCACCUGCAAUUUUAGAAUCGUGCAUAAAGUUUCACCUGCAAUUUGAGAAUCACGCAACUUUCACCUGCAAUUUUUAGAAUCGUGCAUAAAGUUUAACCUGCAAUUUUAAAAUCGGGCAUAAAAUUUUACCUGCAAAUUUUAAAAUUUGAUUGUUAAUUUUUUUGUUGCAUUUUUUCCUUUGUCUGUGAAGUUUGGCUGUACUGUGAAAGUGUAAUUUUGUCAGGAUCGAUCAUUUACGCGUAGAUGGACUUCAAGCCAGUACCAACGGAGUGGCCAAAAAAUAGAACUGGAGAACACUCGGUCGCACAUGCAUUUAGCUGUCCAAACUCCAAGCAGCAGCUAGUAAUGUGAAAUUAUUUCUAGGUGCCAAUUAACGCAAGUAGACAUGCUCUCUCACACACACACACAGGACAGGUAUGCUGGCCGGUCGACUGAGAAAUACGAUUUCUCAGCCGACUGAGCCGUAGACACUCCCCACUUAAUAUGGGACGGAGGAGUACUAGUUUGCAAUUGAAUAAAUCAAACCAUCUCAUACUUAAGCAAAGCAAAGCAAUCUAGCUACUACAAGUAUCUGGUUAACGCACAGUUAUGUUCAUGUGUUUGUGUUUUUUGCGUAUAGCGCACAGUUAAGGUCAUGUGUAAAGACUGAUCGAAUUUGCAAAGAUGGAAUUAAGCUUGUGAGGUUGGGAUUGUCUGUAAUUCUGUACGUAACUCGUAACCUUUCAUCAAUAAUAAAUGUCCGCGAUUUAAUACCAUUUGUAAUAUUUACUAAACUCCCGACACUUAUUAUGGAUCGAAUGAAAUACAUGUAAUAACAUUUUAAGUAUCAGUGACGUACUACUGCUGAGAUUUCUUGUAAACACGACGCAUGGGAAGCUACGUCAACAAAAUUUGCAUCAGGGGAUCUUGUCAGUGUCUCCCUCGUUAACUGCUGGAGACACUGUCACAUGGCGCGCCAUGCUCGUCGUCAGAAAACACCGGACCCCGUAGGCGCGGCACAAACCAAACACGCACUACAAAACCACAGCACCCCAUACCUUAUCGGUCCCCUCAACGGGACAACGCCCAAUAACGCCUCACCUGACGGGUUUGUUCGGUUAUUCUGACGAAGCGAGCUGCGAGCGAGGUGACGCCGAUCAGCCGCUGCUGGAACAUUCUUCUCCGAGCAAAAUUAUUUUUUUCCCGUCCCUCGAACGAACUUACCAUGUCCUCGCCAAAAACGUAUCUGGGCCGGGUUACGCCAACAUCCGCGCAAGCCCACCAAGUGGUUGCAGGAAAAGGCUGGGCCCACUUUGAUUGCGACAACAGGUAAAUGUAAAUACGGGGUGAUACGGAGUGGUUAAGAAUCGAGCCAUCGAGGCCCGUGGGCCCACGCGACGCUGCCGCUGAUCCGUUACCACGUCGUCUCCUUCGUCUUUGGUCUUGCAUUGCGGUCAAUUCACACCGCUUUUUAGUUCCGUGACAGCGAGGUGUGUGUGCUGUUACUUACCGCGGACCGACCACGUUUUUAUCACACGGUGACCUCGUCUUAUCCCCAUGAUGGAACGACAAAUGAGUGUCUCUAUAUGAUUAGUUCUUUUCGUCAAAAUAUAUGAUUAGUUAUAGGAGUUGGUGUCUCUAUAGUCUAGUCCUAAACCUCAUUUCUUUUCUGCGAGAUGCAUGUAGGUAACAAGUCCUUGCUUAAUAGUACUACUGCUAGGGUGUGCUCCUACAUGGUUCUUAAAUCUUACUGGAGGAGUACUUGAGUUUGUGGAAAGAGGAGACAGAGCAGUGAUCUCUCAGCACUUCCCGAUCGAGGAGUAGCAUAAUUCGUUCUUCUAAGCAUCUACCAGAAGGCAUCACUCGAAGGUUCUCCAAUUACACCUGCUCAAGUUCUUGCCUGCGAUAGCACUGAUACAUAAAAAUGCUAGUGCUACAUGCGUACACAACACAAACCUGUAAAGUGCCGAAGAUGGCAACAAAUAAUCACCUGCUGUCAAGGCCAAGAGCUAGAGCAGCAGCAGAGCAGAGAGCCGGAGAAUGGGAUUAUGAUAGUGUGAGUCAGCGCACUUUGCCCACGCGACCCUUGCGCCCCGGAAAAAACAAAGAUAAACCCCCGGAAUAAGAAAGUGCGAGGAAGAAGCCACCAGAACAAAUAAAAGGGCGCGCGCAGGAGAUAAACCGGGAAAACAGAAACGCCCGGCCUCCAUCCACGGAAAACAAAUAUCCUCAACAAAUUCCCCCCCUUCCCUUCUCUUCUUUCCCAAGUGCGGCUCUGCUCCUGAUCUCGCCCUCCAUUGGUGGGCGCCUCCACUUCCACGGCCUCUAUUUAAGAAGGCUCCUUGCUCCACCAUCCUACUCACCACUCACCGCAGCCCCGAUCGCCUCACCAGGAGCUGAGCUGAGCUGCACCGACUGGAUCGAUGCUAAUGGUUUCGUGCGUGUGCUAGUGGUGGCUUAGCGCAUUAGCGGCGGAGAGAGGUUUGGUACGAUCGAGCUGGAGGAGGUGAGGCGCGGCACCACAUGUUGAGUGGACAGCCGGCGGCCAGUGGUAGCAGCAGCACGAGCAGGGAGCGGCCGCAGCGGGUGAUCGAGGAGGAGGAGGAGGAAGAGGAGCCGGAGUUCAGGGACAUCCACGCGCUGAGCCCGCCGCGCGCGCCGCAGUCGUACCGCCGGAGCCGGGCCGGGAGCAGGGACUCGUGGGGGAGCAGGCACACGUCGAUCCGCUCCGUCGGGAGCGACACCGCCCCCAGCGAGCCCUUCCCUAGCAUGAGCAGGGAGUUCUCCGCCAUGGUCGCCGCCGCAGCCUCCGCCAACGCCGCCUCCGCAGAAGCUAGCCGGGCGAACGGGGAGGACGAGAUGGGGCGGAUCGGGGAGGAGGCCGAGGUGGAGGAGACGAACCCGCUGGCGAUCGUGCCGGACAGCAACCCCAUCCCCUCGCCGCGCUGGGGGACGGCGACGGCGAACACGCCGCGUGCGUCUGCAGCGGGCGGCGAGGUGGCGGUGGCGGUGGCGGCGGGCGGCGCCGGACACGGGCAGGGCGACGGGGUGUCGGUGGGGCAGGUGAAGAAGGAGGAGGUGGAGUGCAAGAUCGCCGCGUGGCAGAUCGCCGAGGUCGCCAAGGUCAACAACCGCUUCAAGCGCGAGGAGGUCGUCAUCAACGGCUGGGAGGGCGACCAGGUCGAGAAGGCCAGCGCCUGGCUCAACAAGUACGAGGUACGCAAUCUUUCCCAAUUCGACGCCAUGAAUUUCCUCUAGAAAAGAACUCUUAAGUUCAAUUCUGAAUUACUCAUAGUUCUGACGGAGUUCUAAUUUAACUCGGACGCGCGCGUGCGUGCAGAGGAAGCUGGAGGAGAAGCGGGCCAAGGCGAUGGAGAAGGCGCAGAACGAGGUGGCAAAGGCCCGGCGGAAGGCAGAGGACAAGCGCGCGUCGGCGGAGGCCAAGAGGGGCACCAAGGUGGCCCGCGUGCUGGAGCUCGCCAACUUCAUGAGGGCCGUCGGCAGGGCGCCCACCAAGCGCUCCUUCUUCUGAGCUCUCAGCUCCCCCUCCCGGCCUCCUCCGCUUUGCUCGCUCGCCGUCGUCGUUGGAUCGUUCACCGCUUCGCUUCACGGGAGGGCCAGUUAGCACUGUUGCGUGCUCCUGUGGUUGCUGCUUGCUGUGUGGAACUCUUGUUUUAGUGCUGUAUCCACAUGUAUGGUGUAUCAUCUUCAUCAUCAUCUCUUCUUCUUUUUUGAAGCUUUUCUUUCCUUCUUGUUCUUCCCGUGCUUGUGUGCUUGAUAUGGUGUACUGCAAAGUGGAGGGAACAUACAGAGAAGAAGUACAUAGGCAUAAGAUUGGAGGGUGUGCUCUUCCCUGCAGAGCGUAUGGGCAAGAGCUGCCUGUAUUUUGUUUUGUCAUCAAGGAUUAUGUAUUGUCAAUAUGAACAAGAUAAGCAGUUAACUGUACUGUUUAAUUAUUUGUGUACAUUUGCAAGCUUUCUGGGUCAUCAUCACCUUCUUGAUUUCUGUGAUUCGUCUCUGUCAUUUGCUUCAUCUGUAAUACUCCAGAACAUUGUCCUGCUUUGUUAAUUUAUGGCUCCCUAAAUGCUCAACUAACAACACUUUGACACAAAUCACGGAGGCCAGCGUACUGAAGAAGAGUCAUUCCUUUGCUCUUUGACUUCUGAAGAUAUAGAGCAAAGAGUAAUUUCGUACCGCUGCUGAACCCUGUGAAGUUGCUGCCUUGAUUCUGGCAUGCGACCUACCGGCUUCAGUUUCAACAACGGAACCUCUGUUGUUUGCCCCGGCCCCCGGUCACUUUUUGUUGAGACUUACUCCAGUAGUAGAAUUAGAGAAGUUUAGGUGGAGAUACUUAUCAUCAGCUCACUGCCACUACAACGAAGUCAAACUUCGAAAGGAACGGCAGCAAUCUAACACAGCCAACUACGUAGGUCAUGGUCAUGUGUAGUUAAAUUAUAGAACAUGCUCCGGAUUACAAGAACCGUGCCCUCAGCUAACAUUUGCAUUUCUGUAUCCUAUUCUGCUAUUCAAGAGGAAAGCAACCUUGUUCUUGAUUGUGAUGUGGAAACUCAACCGUUCUUGUAUAACACCAGACACCAUUUGCACCAUGUUCAGAAAUCAGAAGUGCCUGACUUUGUCAGCUUAAGAUUUGGAGCAGGAAGUUCAGUCAAAGGUCCUGUUUGGAUUGACUUCUUGCGCGGGGGGGGGCUAAUGGAUGGACACUCGCCGCUCUGAUUUGCAAGGGUUCUCACGGUGAUUUUGCAGGAUUUUCACACCAAACGCUUCGAAUCCCGUAGGAUAAUUAUGUCCACGUGCAGUAUAUGACACUCCAACAAAAACGACCGAACCUGAAUUUGGGAUCCGACAAUGCCUGGAAAUCCUGUGAAUUACCGCGCUUUCUGAACAGAGGAUACGAAUCCAUGGAUGAUGGAUCCCCUGAACUUGGACAAGAGAGGGAGACCCACAGUGUGGGCGGGCCUCUGCUCGUAUUGAAUGCUGUUACCUUGUAGUGGGGCGCGACUUCGUCUCCUGGGCCAUGAUCUGGAUUAGCCCAUGUGCACACAAGGUGGGCAUCAUUCGCGGUGAAUCAAACGAGCUCACAUGUGUUGUACGCAAUGUGGCCUGUUCUUGUGUUUGCUCACGUCACAUGGUGUGUCCCGAAUUAACCUGACGAGACACGCAAGUAUUCCAUAACGCCUUAACAAUACUGCAAUAUCAUGUUUGCAAGAAUCUAUAAAGAUGGCAAAUUGGGUCACCGCCGAGGCCAAUCACUUGAGGAUUAUCGUGUCGAGAGAGUAGAUGGCUGUACCGACUUGGGGCUCUGGCAUGGAUCCAUCAGUGUAAGACAGUUCCAACCAUUCGAAAUGAUGCUCACUGUGUCAUCACGAUUGGCGGUAAAUAUAUUACACACAGACGGCAGAAAAGCAAAGCGAGCCGGAGGUACCUUGUCUGGUCAUAAGAUUGUUGCAGAGAACUUAUAUGUACAAAAAACUGCAUGGUCAUGGAAGAAAACACGACGAUCACUGUACAUGGCACACCAGGUAAAGAACUAAUUAGUGCAGCUAAGGAUACCUUUCUUUUAUUUCUGAUGAGCGGAGCAGUACGCAGUAUCUCCUGACCCUAUAUAAGACUAUCAUGAUGUUCUCCACUGCUCCCUCCAGCAAAUGUCUCUGAAGUUUCUGGCAGAUCAUCUACACUGGACAAAGGCUUGUCCACAGCAGAAGCAUCUAUGUUUGAAGGCUCUGGCAGGUCAGGCACAUCACUGUAAGGCUCGUUUACUGAAGGUGCAUACGUCUCUGAAGGAUCUGUCCGAUCAACCACAUCAACCAACGGCUCAUUGGCGGCAGAAGCAUACACCUCUGAUGGUAAGGGCGCAUCGACCACAUCAACCAAAGGCCCAUCCAUGGCAAAGGCUUCUUCAUCUGAAGAUGAGAAUGUACUGAACAAAUUAUCUGAACCAAAAGGGGCAGCUUCAUUGUCAAUGUCCUCCAGAUCAGAAAUUUGAGCUUCAGAAUCAGAUGAUUCUCCAAGCAAGACUUCGAGAGACGGGCUGCUAUUAUUUGUUCUCUCUGCUACGAAAGGCAUGCCCAAGAUGUCAUUCUCGCACUCAUGUAGCAAGUCAUAAACCCUUUGCAGCUGUGGCCCUGCAGUAGGGGUCACGUUAUAACUAGCUCCAUUACCUGCAAAAAGAUCUUCGAAAUGAUUUCCAGUCGCAGUGUUCCUUGAACUGAUGGCUUCAGUGGCAAAAACUACACCAAGCGACUCUAUACUGCUCAAAUCUAACCAGGAGUGUUCCACCUCUGGUUUCAUGAGGGUUUCAACAGGGCCGGAGUCCAAGCUGCUAUUAUCGAUCCAUGUUUUCUUGGAAUCAGGAAACUCAAAGAAUACAGAGUCCAUCCCACCAGAAAGCCUAAUGUUGUUCUCUGUAAUCUCCAGAUCUCCAUCCUUAUCUGACAAGGUUUCCAUUGCAUUGACACCAUCCCUGGUAGCACCAUUUGCAGGAGAUGCACAGUUUGAUGAUUCAAAAGUUGUGUUAAUGGAUAGGUCACCAGAAAUAUUUCCGUCUCCCUCAUCAAUCUCCAAAGCUUUCUUCACUAGCAAAAGUUGGAACAUUGGGUUCUUCUGGCCCACCUUGCGGUCAGCAUCUUCCAAGUUCUUAUGAGCUCCUGGGGAUGUUCUCUUGAAGGAGGAUAUUGCAGCACCAUCGUUACCAAGGCACACCUCAGAAGGACCAUUCCUGAAAGAGCUAGCAUUUCUUGCUGCAAGAAACUCUGCCAAGGAUACAACAGGUCUGCUUUCAUUCACUUGAGCUGUCUUAUCAACAGAUUCCCAAAUAGUUGAAGAUUUUUCUUUCAUCUGAGUUCCAUCAGCAACUGACCCCAGAAGUGUAGGAGGAGGCUGAGAAGGAUCAUCCACAGGUUCAUUGCUCAUGACAAAUGUCAUUGUGUCCAAAGUAGGAUCAUAAUUCUUUCCGUUUACCUGCGUACGGUCAUCAACAGAUCCAGUAUGAGGCCAUGAAGGAACACUCCAUGGUUCAGUGCUAGCAAAUGCCGUCUUGUCAGGAUAGAGAUCAAUAUUCAGUUCAUUUACCUCAACAUUCCCGACCAAGCGUGCCUUAGAGACAGAAGUGGGUGGAACCACAUCAACUUCCUUACUUACAUCACCAAAUUCACCAUGAAAUUGGCCAACUGAUCCAUCUUUAGUGGAUAUCUCAUCAGCUUGUCCAUUAGAAAGGGAGGAACUUGAGGAAUCAAUUGUAUUUUCAGCACUUAAAUUACUGGCGGUGCAAGCAACAGACUUCGAGGGUGACGUAGCUUUGGUGGAAUUGAGAAAUGCCUCCAAGGCGAAUGCUAAUGCACCAUCAAUAGUAACAGGAGCUUUGCCUUUGGGGUCGUUGACAGUGCUUUUGCUCAGAGUAUCAUCAGAGUUUGUAUGACGAUCAUCAAGAUCACCAGCUGUUUCUUUGACAUCCUCCACUUCAUCGUCUUCAUCAUUUGGGAACUCUGGAACCUUAACAGCUAGACCUGGUGUACUCUUACGUUCUUUCUCAGAAGAUGAAGCAGAAUCAGCUGGUGGAAAAGGCCCGUGAUGAAGCUUCUCACAAGUUACCUCAGGUUCACAUAUGAAAUCAGAAGCCCUAACAUUAGGUCCACGUAUUGUAUUCUCAUCGGCCAAAUCACAACCACAGGAAUCUUCUAAAGAAAAUUCUGGCGCCCUGAUAACCAAGCCUGGCUGCCUGUUCAUUAUAGAAGCAGAAGUUCCAGUAUUGCCACUAUAAUGUUCCUUUUCCUGUGAGUUAGUGAUAUCAGAGUAAACAUUUGGGACUGACAUUCUUGCAGACAAAGACUGAAUCUCUACAGAAAAUGAAUCAAACUGUUGCUCCAGCCGCUUAAGCCUUGCCUCAAUGCUACCGAGGGGCCUCAUCAUACUGUCCUCAAACCUAGAGCAAUAUAACUCCACUUUAUCCACCUUGGAGAGGAGAAUUUCCAGCGUCUUCUCAAUAGGAUUGUGCGGAGUAAAAUUUCCAUUCAUGACAGGACCAGUGUCCUGAUCCAUAUUUGAUACUCUCUGGCCCUUUGCCGAUGCCACUUGUAUAUUUUCUGUUGUUCGCUCAGGCAAAGGGAGAGGUCUGGGAACAUUUAAUGGGAACUCACCUUGGUUGCUUUUUUCAUUAGAGAUCGUAUCACCCCCCAUAGGUGGUAUUCUGUUUUCCAACCCAGCUGACAUAAAACUUGAAUCAUUUGUGCCACACAUUGCUGCUUCUAAAUCAAUCUUUCCACAUGGGCUGCUCUCUUUCAAUGCACAACCUUCAGGAAGUUGUGUCCUCAGGCCAUCAGGAAAAUAACUGUCAUCUAUUUUGCACUUUGUAGAUUUGGACAUUUGCAUAAGACCAGGAACAAGCAUAGCCAACAAAGAACUACCUCCCAUGUUUCCAGGACCAGCUACUGACUCAUCACUGGUGGACCCAACAUUAUCAGCAAAUAUGUAGAUCUCUUCAAGGUGCACUGAUGUCUUUGACUCUAGUGAAAGAAGACGGACAGUAAGAGAAACACAUGGGCUUGCGUCAGUUAUCUCAGCAGUUGCUUCAUAGUGUGCCUGGAUUAUGCAAAAUAAAACAACAAUGUCGUAAUUUGUAAGAAUCUAGGAGAAGUAUUUUUACAGUGAGUAUCAAACAAUAUUUAUUGACAAGACCAAAAACGAGAGGAAAUACCAGAGUAUUUUUCUGGUGGGUUCCAAUCGCAUUCCUUUCUUGAGAUUCAGGUGUGUUGCUUUCCAGAGGAGACUCUGGAACUUUGACUUCAACCCAGCUAUCUUCAUCACUACUACUGGUUACACUUUUGGUCUCUUGUUCAUGCUUUUCAACAGAUACAGUAUUGCUACUCCCCUGAGACAUACACUCUUCACCAGAGGGCAGCGGUUCAUUAGCAGCAAGUCCACAGCGCACAGUGCAUAGAUAAUCCUUGCUGGUAUCCUUCAGGUUGGUUGAAUAGUAUAUUUCAUAAAUCCGGGCUGUGCUUUUCACAUACACUCUAUGAAUCUCAUACUUUCCUGUGAAAUUAACUGAAAGAAGAAGUGAAUUAGUUACAUCGAUACAGAAAUGGAAAAUGAAUUGAAAUUCAGCGGGGAAAUGUUCUACACUAUUUAUAGAACAAAAUGGAGACAAACUAGAAAUUUGGCCAUGAAAGCCACGCUAUGAUGGACUACAUAGAAUGAUAUAGAGCCUGACUUCAGAUUUGCAAUGCAGAUACAAGGCGGAUUGAAUAAAAGAUGACAAAAUAAAAGCAUACUAGUUGCAGUUCCAAAAUUAAUUAGCCUCUGGUGCUCGCUGAAGCUUUCGCAAGUCGACAUGGACGGGCACCAACGGCGCGAAGGAUCGCAUUGCAGUAGCCUCUGGUGCUGGCUUCCUUUGGCACCGGGUUGGCCUGUGUGUUUUGUUUUAGCUGGGCCCUGGAUGCGAUGUAUGGCUUGUAUUUCGCUACUGUUUUGGGCUACAUUUUCCUGUUUCUUUGUUGUUCUUUUUGCUUACAUUUUGGACUACUCUUUUGUAUGCUGGCGGUUUCUAUAAUGGAAAUCGGUGGAGAGAGCCCACUGUUUCUAUUUUUUUAUUAAUUAGCCGACAAAAUUCUGCCCUGUCACUAUACAAGAAAGGAAAUACUUUAUGGGAAUUAAAGCGUGAUCAAGGGUGGGCAAUUUGUAGUGGAACAUAUUUACUUCAAUGUCGAGCUUCUGGAAAAAAGUGGAAGCUAAAGCUGUCAAAAUCGAGCCAGGUCUUUUCCGAAGUACUCCCUCCGUCCCAUAUUAAGUGACUCAAAUUUGCUCGAAUAUGGGUGCAUCUAUAUCCCAAAAGUGUCUAGAUACAUGUAAUAUUUCGUCACUUAAUAUGGGACGGAGGGAGUAGUACCAAAACUACUAAUUGCUGUUGGAGUGAUCAUGGGGAGAAUACGAAGCUCUGAAAUUUUAUACAUUUUAGUAUACAGCCUAUAUCACAUAUAGUGAUCGGAUAUCCACUUCAAAUAUGAGCCUUUGGACAGGAAAAUGGCCCCUGAAGUGUCUGCAGCGACAAGGGUUUCACUGAUAUACGAAUAGGCCAAUUCGAAUGGACUCUGCAAGUCUCCAACAGCAAUAGCCAGUUUGGUGUGCUUAGCUCGUAUACUAGCCCACUAGGGUUUAUCCAACCAUACGCUGACUAUUGCAAAAGAUUAAAUUUCAACAGUGCUUGCAUCUGCGUCCGAUCAGCGACAUGGAACAACGGCACGGCGCAAUUCGCAAUCAAACCUCCCGAAAUCUUUCACUAGGCUACAACUUUCCAAGGCAAAAACGAGGACCCACCAGUAACUUCGCAUGGAGGGGGAUCCUCUCCGCCGUCGGAGGGCGGGCGGGCGAGGACGACGGCCGUGGGGGAGGACUCGGCGUCGUCGGUGGACGUCUCGAAAGACACGGCGUCCUCGACCGUCGCGGCUCCGGCCGGAGCCCAGGUGCUGGUCGCCGUCCAGGGCCGCCCGGGCUCGCCUCCCGAUCCCGAUGCCGCCAUCGCUCCCCGACUGCCUCCAGCCGCGUAGUGGGUGGGGAAAUCGGCGGUGGCGUACUGGUGGGGUUCGCCGUUGGUCGCUUAGCUUCGCUUCAGGAUUCCGUCAGGCGCUCGCUCACUUCACGACGAAUCUGGUGCGGGAUCUCAUCCUACAUUCCGACAGGCUACAGGCCCUCGAAACAAAAUGGAUUUUGGGAUUUGGGUUUGCCGUUGUCUUGGGCCUAAGUCCAAUAGACCAAUAAUAAGGCCAACUAAACGCAUGGGCCCAUUGCCGCAUUCAUAAAAAACAUGGGCUUCUAGGCCCAUUAAAAAUCGUUAUCGAGUUAUCCACACCGCGAAUGUUUUACCACCGCAGCCGCAGACGAUGCGUCCCGGGCGCGGCCGUCAAGAAUGCAGCUCCGCUUCGUCCCGCUCGCCGCGAGCGCCAUGGCCGGAAGGAGCUUCCUCGCCGAUCUUCCUCGGCCCGUGAGGGGGAGAAGGAAUCAUCUAUGCUACAACGGGAACAAUUCGUCGUCGUCGGAGAAGGACGGCGAGCGUGGUCCGACAGAAGAGGCGCUGCGGCGGCUGGCAGAGCUCGACGCUCAGCUGGAAGGGCUGAAGGAGCCCAAGAUGAGGCCUCCGCCGCCCCCUCCUCCCCCAGGUAAUCAACUAAUCAUUGACUACCGGUCUCGUCGGGCCAACUUGGCUUCUCCGGUCUUCCAUGCGUCCAUACUAUCUUGCCCUCUCAAUUCAAAAAAUCAAUGAUUCAAGAUCUUCAUCACAGCCAAUAAUUGAUUGAGAUCAAGUUUUUGCAGCACACGUGAACCUGUAUGUUCGCGUGUCCUCUGAAAAGAAAAGAAGAUUUUCACGGUGAGUGUGUUACAGCAAGUCAGCAAGGAUGUAUGUUUAGGUCCUACUGAAAAUUGUGUUUAAAGCUGCAUAAACUAUGCAGGAUAGAUGGAUCAGUCCCUUGCACUGAAACUACCUAAUGAAACCCUAUGAAUUCAUAUGCAAAACUUGUGGUCCUCAGCGUAAAUUCUAUGCCUGAAUGCUUCGGUACAGGGUACAAAUGGCCAUUUCUCAAGUACUCGUACCUUAGAAGCUUAGAUCAGUAGUACAAAUCAAGUGCAAAAUGCAGACCAGGCUUGCCAUUUCCUCAUGUAGACUUUUAAGAGCAGUACUUACAUUACAACGUACGGAGUACUUCGUAGAACUCCUAAUGACUGCAAAUGUACUGACCCUCAAAUUGCUUCGUCCUUAUCGACACAGAAGUACUUUCCGAAAUAGUUGAAGCCUUGUCACUUCAUUUCAACAUCACCUUGGCAUGUUAUCUUACCGUGUUUUGCUUGGCAUGCACAGACCCUUUCAUGGACCGGGACAUGAUAAUAACGCGGGGACGACCAAGCGAGGAGCUCCCAGAAAUGACCCCGGCGUACGUAGCCUUCUCAACUCUAGCGCUUUUCAUCUUCACCAUCUUCACCAACGUGAUGUUCAACCUGUACGUCAAACCUUCCGUGGACGGCGUCGAUCAGCCCGUGAGAACUCAGAGAACGGCCCUGCUUAAUCCAGCAGACCAGCUGCCCCAGAGUAGCUCGUCCGAGACGUGAAUGACAAUGAACCGCAGCUUGUUAAAGCAAGAGGGCAUGUGACUUUUUAGCUAAUAAAAGUAAAUGGAUGGUUUGCGCCUCAUAUUUGAUUUUCUGUAUGUAGAUCAAUCCCCACAUGUUCCGAAUGAACUAUAUUUUGCUGGCAUCGAUCGAGGGUUCGUUUUGAUAAUGCAGAGGUUCUGCUGCACAUGCCUGUGUCUGUGUGGGGCUCUACCUCUCGAUGUAUAUUCAGUUUCUUGAUGGCCAAUGAUGACCGAUCAUAGAACGUGGAAGUAAAAGAAAACCGAAUCGACAUCCUGAAUCAAACAUAUCAAACCCAACUGAUUGUAUCAGCAGUAGUCACGGACGGACGCAUAACUUGGAGAACGCCGACAUGACGAAUGAGCUGUGAACUAUGUUCGUGUGGCACGCGGGAGAAGCAGAGCUAGCAGCGGGGUACGUACUCCCGUCCCGUGGUAGCGGUCCCGGGCUCUGCGAUCUUGUACUGAUGAUUUUCUUUCUUUCAGUUGUACAUGUCCUUUGGCUCUUCUGUUUUCCCUAUUCUUUUCUAUCUUAUUAUGUCUCUGCCUUAUAUUGUUCCGAUUCAUACACUGGCCUUUCGGAUUUGUCGGCAGUUUUUGAGUUCCCGUGGAGAUCGUGGACCUUAAUUUCUUGUUGGCUUUCGCUUUCGUUUAAGCAAGAUUCUGAGUUGCUUUCCUAUCGUAGCAGCAGUACGCCUUGGUUUGUCUCCUGUUUCGUCACAGCGCUAGCUAUCGAUUUAUUUUUCGUCUCGCCCGCACAAAAAAAUAAUGUUUUGCUUAUUUCUUGCUCCCUUGAUCCUAAAUUGUUGAAUCAAAUUUGUCAAAAUAUAGAUGUAUCUAUUCUUAAAAAGCGUCUAGAUACAUGUAAUAUUUCGACAACAAUUUAGGAUCGGAGUGACUACGUUAUAUUUUCUUAAUCUAAAUUCCGUUUUAAUACAGUUCCAAAACACCUGAAGGCGAUGUGGCUCCGCAGCAGGCCGAGCUUUGACCCUAUUUUAAACCUCGCAUGUAUUUCCCGUCUUAAGUACGUAUGUAUGUCUUCGAUGCUGCACGCCUGCACAUGAUUAUUUAUUCAUUCGUUUUUCCCAUAUCUAACCCAAGCCCAAGCCUCGAACAAAUACCUGGACGUAUUAGUUUAGAGGAAUCUCGUAACAUGGAGAUCAUAUCAUAGUUUAUCUCUGCCACGAAAGGAGAACAUACUUCAACUCCGCCCCCGGAUCGAGUCAUCGUAUUCCAGCAGUCCAGCUGCCAACACCAGAACACCUCACGUGCCUUUACGUGAGACCCGAAGAGAGGUCUCGGUAAUACGAGCAGUAGCCCUCGCAUUGGCUUUACUUGACAGCUUUUUUCAGGGGAACUUUACUAGGAAACAGAUCCGAAGUGAAAUGAGGUCCAGCAUCAGGCGUGCCAAUCCUUUUCCGACGAAUAAAACUGCAUGGCACCGAUCCAUCGCCCGGCCCAUUUCGUGUCCGCAUCGGUCGAUGGUGCAUGUGCGCCCGUCCGUCCGUCCGUCCCCAGAUCUGGUGCGUCUCAUCCGGACAAAAGCCCUCGGACUGCACGCCCGGACGACGGACGGACACGUCGCCCGCCCGCGGCGCGACGCCACGGCCAGGCAAUGAGCUAGCACGGUGAGAUGUCGAGUUCUCGGCGAACAGAGGACUUCGCUUCACCCGGCCGCGGCGAUCCACGCUGUAGAUCUUCUCCAUGAUUUCGUGAAUCAGUACUGUACUAUUAGCUGGAAGAACCCGAUCGAUCGGGUAAUAAUUGCGGAGGACGGAUCAUCACGGAACGAAUCGAUCGGCCGGGGGCGGUUUGUGCUGUGGUUGGCCGGCAUGUGAUCGGUCAGCCGCGGUGGCCCGGCACAGGGCAGUGCGCUGUGGACACUGGCAAUUUACUUAUCCCUGCAUACCCUGAAGAGCACGCGUGUGUAUGCCGACUCUGGGCUGCUUUCUACAGGCACGUGAUGAUGUGCCAACCGGAUGCUAGUUGUCUCUCACCAGUCAGCUUAACGUCACCCCCCGUGUCUGCUCACACUCGAGUGCUACAAAUCUUUAUUACGGACAGUAAGAUACUGUUUCACCUCUGCUCGUUUUACACGCGAUGUAAUCAAUCGACCCUACCUUAGCCCCUUUGCUGCUAAAAGAAAGCGUCGUACGGUGCAAACGACGACGGCAUGAUUUCUCUCCACACGCGUACGUGGGGCAGUGGCGACGUGCACGCUCGCCGAACGCUCCGGCGAGAAUGAGCAGCGAAAGCGGGCAUCUCCGUGGCCAUGUGGUGCGAAGCGCAGCUAGCUGGACGCAAAAGCUCGCCCGGAAAGCCAAAAGAAUCCUUUUUCUCCUUUCGUUCUCGCCGCGAGCGACCUAGCAGUACUAGCGAGGUCAGGUCGAUACUCGAUCUCUCUUUCUUCCACAUGCGCUCUCGUGUGCGGCCUGAACCUUGUCGGAGGACACGUACUACGUACGUCCAUGCCGCAUUAUUUAGCGACUUCACAUGGGGGGACGAAGAUGGCGAAGGACCCGAGACGGUGCCCAGCUAAAGGGCGGCUACGUGUAGCUUGUACGUCUCCGACAAGGGGGUCAGCCCGUCAAUGUUGUGCGACCAGCUACGUGUCAAAGGAGAGGUGGCCGUGUGACGAACAUUUUAUUGUGUUCAGCGUGCACCGGCUUCAACCUCCCACAACUGACGUUUCCUUGGACGUAGUAAAAAAAGAGAAAGAAAUUGACGUGUCCUUUUCGAUUGUAUUCUUGGUAAGAUGUCCCGCGCAAACAUCUUUAUAUGUGGUAUCUGCCGAAAAAACCCCGUUCGGUGUAAAUUUCAUAAAAACCAUGUAUAGAAUUUUUAAAAAUUCUUAUAAAAAUGCCAUAUUGUGAAGGUGUGGUACUCUACAAAUGUGCAAAAAUUCAAGCAGAAAAUCAAAUGCGUUUGAAAAAUUAAAAAGAGAAUACAAAUGAAUAGUGUCAAAAUUGAAGGCCCACUAUUCAUGUUGAAUUUGUUUUUUUUCGCUCCUACCAAACGCAAUUGAGUUUGAACUUGAAAUUUUACACAUACAUAAAACAUCAUUUCUCUAACAUAUGAACUUUUUUUAGAAUUUUUUGAACUUUUUUCGAUGAAGUUUUCAUAGUUUGCACGGUAGAUGUGGUUUUCAUCGGAUACUUUUCCUAAUUACUUUGGCUCACGAUCCAUAUUAAGUGCUAGCUUUAGUACAACUUUCUGCUAAGUUAAUAGAAAAUUUAAGAUGCUUAUUAUGGAUCGGAGGAAGUAUUACUAUAUUAUUUAGAAAAAACACCAAGUCAGUAAUAGAAAGAGAAGAUAGGUGUUUGUGAGACGGUGUGCACAUGCAUGUAUACAUGUUCUGCCCCAUCUUAUAUAGCUUCAUCGCCCUUUGUUUUCGCGUGUGUUGCCAUACAAAGACAGAAAAUAUCCACGCAAAUUUUUGAUUGGGGGAUUGCAAUAUUGAUCGGUAAGAACAUCCAAUCUAGUGGCCGUGCUGUUAUAUACGAAUGGUGCCUAAAUAAAGUGUAAGGGCAUGCGUCAUAACUGGCCCGUACAAACAUAUAAACAGCCUAGUAAAUCAAUGGCCCAGUUAUAGCACCUACAAUUACGUAAAUCAAUAAGUUAUGUAUUGGAUUUAGGUGGGACUUAAACCAAUUCGUAGCCCAAUAAAGAUAUCGGUCUCAUUAAAUCUUAACCGUUAAAUACCAGAUCCAAUGGAUAGAAUAACUGUGAUGAUGUUGAUCAACGUGAAGUCUCCCUUCAGUACACCUCAUAUUGGUUUUAGUAUAUAAUAGAGAGAUGUGAGGUAACAUAUUUGUUGAAAGUUUACUUUUAGUCCCAUUCAUUGUAUUGUAUAUAAUUGAUAGAUAAUUUUUUAGCUCACGUGGAUAGAUACUAAGUUGAAAACCGAAUUGCUGAUUUUCUAAUUUAUGAUGCCGGUUUUAUAUUACAACAAAGUUACAUUCCAAUGAAGUUGUUAUUUUUCUCUCUCUCUCUCAAUUCACUUAUUAUCUUCAUUCGUAUUACUUGUUACGGUUUUGUCUAGAUACGUAUAUAUCUACAUAAUGAAACACGUCUAGAUACAAGUAUGUCUAGAUAAAGCUGCGACAGUAAUAUGGCCGGAUGGAGUAGUUACUUUUAACGCCACAUAGAGUUUGUACGGAAGUAGAUUGUCAAAUUUCUUGUUAUUAUUUAAUUUUAGUUAUAUAUAGAGACACAUGUGUUUGUCUAGAACCAAUCUCACGCCGCUGCACUGCCCGCCGUUCCUUCAAUCGAACGAUCGGGCCGGUCUUUGCUCGCAGUGUUGGAUCUUGGAUCGUUAGAUUAUUACUCCUGCCUGGCCCGUACAAAUAUACAAAAAAGCCUAGUAAAUUAAUGGUCCAAUUAUAUCACCUAUAAUUACGUAAAUCAAUCAGUUAAGUAUUGGAUUUCAGUGGGCCUUAAACCAAUUCGUAGCCCAAUAAAAAUAGCACUCAUUAAAUCUUAACCGUGAAAUAUCAGAUCCCAUGGACUGAAUAAUUGAGGUGAUGUGGAUCAACGUGGAGCCUCCCCUCGGUACCCCUCAUAUUGCUUUUAGUAUAUAAUAGAUAUCUGGAAGGAGGUGUCAUGUCUCCUUGACAGACAACUAGGUGCUGAUUUUGAUUCAAUUGCUCGUUUAUGGAUGGCUAAUAAAAAUCUGUAUGUAAUAACUCUAUAUAUGCUGUUGUUCUUUAGAGCAUCCGGGCUUUUCGUAAUAACAUGAUUUUUAAUAACCAAGUAUGAUUGUCUCUUAAGCAGAUUUCGUGGCUGAUUCUCCAGUCUCUCGGGAAAUGGUCGUUUCUGUUCAAAGAUACUUUGCUGGACAGGGUGGACUCUUUCUGUCAGAUGGUGUCUCGGCUCCUGGGCGCGCCACCGCUACUGGUUGGGAUCUGAAUGAGGGCAUUUCUGGCCCUCUUUCCCCCACUAAUCUGCCUGUAGGUGUUGUCUCCCCGUUCUCGGGUGUGCUGGGACCGAAACUCCUGAUGCCUUCAGUCAGCCCUAGCUCUGUGCUGGAGCUUCCUCCUCCGACGGCGAACCCAUUGCUGGUUUACGCUGAGCACAAGCUUAUGCUGAAACACCAAGCUUGUGAGCUCGCCGUGCCGCCCCUUAGGACUGCUAUAUCUUCUUGGUGAGGCUGUUUUUCUUCUUGUUUUGGCUGGCUAUGUUUAACCACAAACCAGCUUUCAUUUUGUGUGUUACAGCAUUUGCACGAACCUGGUUUCUUGUUAUAAGGAGCCGGGAGUCCUUGGGCCUCCUGUUGAUUAAAAAUCGCCUCCGGGGAUUAUUGCUCUCGUGAAAGCCAUGCGUUCUGGUUAUCUACAUUCUCCCGGGCAACUGUUUUCAUUCUUGGGAUUAAAGAAGUUCUAAUACUGUUCUCUCUUGUGGACUAAACUAACCAAACGGUGGCACUAGCGAGCUAGGCGACGCACGUCUUGGUUUUGUGGCAGAUCGGCUCGCACAUGUACGCAAAUCAAUGUGAGGAGCCUAAUAAUGUGGAUGGACACCAAAAAACCGGGGAGCGAAAGCUCGAGUUCGGAUUUCCAUAUGCUAAAUCAUGCACACGCCAAUCCAAUCGCUCGAUCGAUGACGCCGCAAGUGGAGCCCGAACCCGCUCGGAUGCUUCCCGGUUACCGCCUCCCUUUGUCCGGUUGCUGCAGUAAGGAAUUCAUCGGUUUCAGAGGAGUGGUCUCCUUUUCCCUGCCAUGCCAUGGUGUUGCUCGUGCUCUCGUACACCUCGCACCGCUGGCUACAACCCGGCCGGCCUCCUCGGUAUUUGAGCACGUCCCGAUUCAACGGAGGUCAAAAAAAUGAAAAGAUAAGAAAAAUAAACUGAAAAUCGGACAUUUAUCCCCUCACGCCCUUUUUAAGACCACCUCGAGAUCGACCUCAUCACUCCCGCACUCAACACUCUCUGGCCAGCCAGCCAGCUCCAAGGCUCUGCGAGGCAGUAGUAGCAACCAGCCAGCCAGCCAGCCCAGAAAGGCCACAACAAUGGCGAAGACAGCCUCGUUCUUCCUCCCUCUCAUAGCGCUCCUGCUCGUGUCUCCGGCGCUCUGCUCGCCGCCGCCCAGCAAGCGUUGCCCCGCGGGCGACCUGCAGGCGCUGCUGCGCGUGAAGCAGGCGCUGGGCAACCCGGCGACUCUCAAGACGUGGUCCGCCGCGUCGCCCGACUGCUGCAGCACGUGGGACCACGUCCGGUGCGACGAGUCCGGGCGCGUGAACAACGUCUUCAUCGACGGCGCGGACGACAUCCACGGCCAGAUCCCGUCGGCCGUGGCGGGGCUGACCGCUCUCAUGUCGCUCUCCCUCUUCCGUCUCCCGGGCCUCCAGGGCAGCAUCCCGGCCUGCCUCACCACGCUCUCCAACCUCCAGUUCCUCACCAUCUCCCACACCAACGUCUCCGGCCCGAUCCCGGACUCGCUCGCCCGCCUCCACAGCCUCGACUCCGUGGACCUCUCCAACAACAGGCUCACGGGCUCCAUCCCAAACUCCUUCGCCGACCUCCCGAACCUCCGCUCCCUCGACCUCCGCCGGAACCUCCUCACCGGCCCCAUCCCUGCCAGCCUCGUCCAGGGCCAGUUCAGGUCACUCAUCCUCUCCUACAACCAGCUGACCGGCCCGAUCCCGCGUGACGACGCGCAGGACGAGAUCAACACCGUGGACCUGUCCCACAACCGGCUCACGGGCGACGCGUCAUUCCUGUUCGCCGAGGGCCGGCCCAUCGGGAAGGUGGAUCUCUCGUGGAACGACCUCGAGUUUGAUCUCAGCAAGCUUGUUUUCCCCAAGGAGCUCACGUACCUAGACCUCAGCCACAACCGCAUCAGGGGUACAGUUCCCAGGUCGCUCGAGGCGCUCUCCACGCUGCAGACGCUGGAUCUCAGCUACAACCAGCUCUGUGGCCCGCUCCCCAAGCUGCACGGCGUCAUGCGACACGGCUGCAAGCCCUACGAGCAUAACAUGUGCCACCGCGGGGCGCCGCUCGAGGGCAGCUGCCACCAGCUGCUGUGAGCGAGCUCUCGCCGGCCGGAUGGAGGCGUACGUAUUUUACAUGUGUGCGUGAUGAUGACGGUGUGCUUUUGGGGGGUUUAGUAGUGUAAACUAGUGGUGACGCAUGCCCUGACACGCGUGGUCGUCGUCCUUGAGGCUUUGUGUACGUACGACACGCGGCGGGAGGUGUGUGCUUGCCGGUGUGCACGUACCGUCCGGAGAU